RNAcentral lists this long non-coding RNA (70816 nucleotides) under Brassica napus (rape). RNAcentral describes it as "long non-coding RNA (BNAP_LNC000689)". The record is from RNAcentral. Lineage: Eukaryota; Viridiplantae; Streptophyta; Magnoliopsida; Brassicales; Brassicaceae.
AUGAUGAACCUGGAUCAACGUUAAUGGUUUUGUAUUGAAUUCCAUCAGGUACAUUGGUGUUGUACUUGUAAGGACCCUUGCCAUUGAUGAGAACUCCAUCAGGCAUCCCAAGUUCUUCACUAGAGUCAAGUACACUCCUCAAUGCCUAAAGAAGCAAACAAAGUUUUCACCAACAUUGGAAGAUCAUACAAUCAAAAAGUAAAAUAAUAAAACCUUCUCACUUACUGUAUGGUUGUGAGUAUACCAAUCACCAAUCAUAAAGCUGAUAUCACCAUCAGACUUACUGAAAAGGAUAGGAAUAAGAUCCCGGUUGUUGAUUACGAUUGGACCAAACCCACCAGAAGCUCUCUGGAAGUGAAGCGAAGGGAAGUAGAAGAAGCUUCUGAUCUGAUCUUUGACUUGAAAGCUAUAAGUGAAGUUCCAUUGAGGAGGAAUGGGACAGUUAGUUCCAAGAACACCGUCUUGCCACGAGUUAGUUCAUAGAAAACCGCGAUAAGAAACAAGCCGCCGCCAUUUUUAUGUUCUGGUUCGUUGAUCUUCGAAAACAACGUUAAACGGAGGAGAUGAAGGGUGUGUACAGUGCGUGUAGUUUUUGAAACUCCUCUGACAAAAAAGAGAAUAAUGAAGAUUUUAUUCUCUCAUUUUAUUUAUUUAUUAGGGACAGAGACAAAACCAAAGGCUAACAAUGGAGAUUUCUAUUGCUAAUCCCUAAACGCGUUUAAUUUACUGGUUUACCCACUUAACCGGUUCUUCUAAUUUGUUAGUAAUUUAUUUGGGCAUGCUGAUUUCUGCAAAAGUUCAGUGGACAUGUGUCUUUAUAAGUGUGGCUGUGAAUUGGAUACUUUCUCAAAACACAAUGAUUCUCACUGAUUUCUGUUUUCCUCUUUUUGUUUCCUAUUGAUUUACCUACCAUAUUGUGUGUGUAACGACGUGUAAAUUGUAAUUACUUGAGUAAGCUUCCAUGUUCUCUAACGAUGUGAUUUAUUUUAUUAUUUUUUGAUAGAUACGUCUUUUUUUUUGGUAAAAAGAUGGGAGAGAGCCUCCCAAUUUUAUUAAAAGAACAACUUCAAACUACAUUCGAACUUGUCGUGGCUGUAAUGAGCCAUCAACAUCCUCUCGUAUGAAACUAACAAGCUCAAUUGGAACAACAUCAAAACGAUGAAAACCAAAAGGAAGAGAAAUAGCAAGGUUAGCUAACCCAUCAGCUAAGCGGUUAGCUUCCCUAUACACAUGAACAAUGCGGACCAACCAAUCCCUCGUCAAGAAGCCAUGGCAUAGGCAUACCAGGAAAGACGGAUGAGUAUCCUCGAUCCCUGCCGAAAGAAAGCCCACCACCAUUUUAGAAUCAACCUCCACCUCUAACCUACUUAUGUUUUUCUCCCAAGCAAUCACAAGGCCAUAGUAGACCCCCCAAAGAUCCGCCAGAGGCGCAGAACACCUCCCUAUAUUAAGAGCAAAUCCACCAUACCACUCACCAUUACCAUCACGCAGCACCCCUCCAACCGACGCCAGCCCCGGGUUACCAUGUGAUGCUCCAUCAGUGUUCAGUUUCAUCCACACCACCCGAGGAGGCGUCCAUCCAAUCAUUAUAUCCACCCUUUGUUUCAUAACCAUGUUUUUCUCCUCCGCCUUCUUCACACAUGUCACUUCGCUGGCCAAGUUACGUAAGAACUGGACUCUAUCCCUCCAAAGACGAUUAUCCCCAAACACAUUCCCACACCUCCACUUCCAUCCCCACCAUACAGCCAAGGCAAACGUCGUGGCCCAAGGUAUCCCACUUGGAGCAUCGUUAUCACAUAAGUUCCGAUAUAACCACUCAAGCAAAGGCAUCGAGAAGAAUGCAUGCCGCUUAGUACCUGUGACGAAUCUAUUCCAGAUUCCCUCCAUUGCAGGACAGUCUCUAAGAACAUGUAAAAUCGUCUCAACCCCUCCUUUACAUAUUUGGCACACAUCAGUUCCACUGAGAUGUCGUCUAUAUCUCUCCGCAUUUGUCAUGAUAGCCUGAUUCCCAACGAGCCAGAGGAACACUCUAACUCUCUCUGGGGCUACCACCCGCCACACACUCUUAAAUAAACUCUCCAUCUGCUGUCUUGAAGUAUCAUCUCUUCUUAUCAACUCGUAUGCUGUUUUAACUGUGAAUUGCCCAUUUGGAGUUUCUCCCCACGCUAAACGGUCUUUCACUCCAGUUACAGUGUCCACAACCACUGCUAGAAGCUCAAGCCGUCUCCCAUCAUUUAUGUAGGGAGAAAUUCUGGUAAGAUUCCACCCCCACCGUCUAACCACAACUCUCUAGCUGUUAUGCUUUCAUAUCCCUCGGGAAGAUCCACCACAGCCUCUCCCAUAAGCGGUUGUUGUGAAUCGUCUGUAAUAUUUCUCAUAGUUGUAAUAGCAUAAUUAUCCAGCGUUAAAAAAAAAUGAUUAAUGGCUCAUGGACCCAUGACUCGUUUUUGUACUUUCAGUGGCGGACUGGGUUAUAAUUUACACUUAAGCCUAGAGUCUAACAAAAAAGCCCAAACUAUAACUAAUUUAAAGUAAAAAAGGACAACACAAGGUGCAGGAAAGGAAAUCGAACUCAGGUUAGGGGUGUCAGGGGAAGGACAAAAUGACCAACCGAACUGUUUAUUACUAAACUUAUAGUCUAAACAGCAUUUAAGGAUCUUUAGUAAUUAAACCCCUUAACUAAAGAUGAAUCGUAAAAAAACUCUCAACUAAAAAUCCUGUGAAAUAAACCCUUAAUUAUAAUUUUGUUAACAUAUGUUACCAAGCUUUUGUUUGUGUAAAUUAAUUAAACUUGUCAAUUUUAUGAAUUAAAUUGUGUGCUUUCGAAUCAAAAACAAAUAUUUGGGUAACCGAAAUCCUGUGUAAAACCGAACCCAAAAUUAAAGCAUGUUUAGUUGGGUUUAUGAUGUGUUACUAUAUCCAAACCAAACCUGAGAAAAUUUGAACCGAAUCUAAACUGAACUUUAAAAAUAGGAAAAAUUACCCUAAGAGACACAUUCUAAGUUAUCAAUUACCCUAAGAGACACAUUAAAUCUACAAGACAAUUUCCCUUAACAAAUUUACCAAGAUAACCUCUAACUAAAGGACCUCUCUUCUCGUUAGACUAUCUAACUAGACAUUCAUCCCUAACAAAUACGAUUAAUGUUAAAAAAAAAAAAAUAAAUCAAAAGUAAAAGCGAUAAUGUGUCCAUCGUGCCGGUUCCUCUUUCAAACCAAAUCCCCAACUUGAGAAAAGUAUGCAAUGCGACGAAAUCCUAACCCCUUUCUCCCGUGCAACAUCUCAUCCACCUAGAUCUCAGUCGUUGUGUUUGAUUCCAUUCUACAUCUUUUUAUUUCGUCUCUCUCGACAUCUUACCCCUUUCCACCGUUCGAUUUCUGUAUCUCUCUCGUUCCACCACCCCGGCAUCUUGUUCGCUCUCGCUGAAUCCUUGUUUCUGUUUCUCUAAUUUUGUUCCAGACAACUUUCUGUGUUCUCUUCCGCCGCCUGUUCUUCUCUUCCNNNNNNNNNNNNNNNNNNNNNNNNNNNNNNNNNNNNNNNNNNNNNNNNNUCUUCCGAUUCGUUUCACAAACAACUACCGACAUGGAAGGUUAGAUUCUGAUUUCAAAAUCAACUACUUAAGUCUAGUUUAUCUUCUCGUUCAAAAUCAACCACCGACAUGGAUGGUGAUACUCCAGAUUUUAGAAGGAUUAGAGAGUCAUCCUUCGGGAAGCUUUUUGAUCUCCAGACCCGACAGUGCCCAUAUUAUUAAGUUAAUAUAAUGUCUUUUGUCCCGACAGUUGCUUUGUAAACUAGACUACACGCUCUGGACUGUGUUUGGAGCCGAUCCCCUUAGGUUAGGCCUUGAAGAGUUUGGGACUAUAAUUAGCCUUAAUUUUGGAGAUCUCCUGACCACAAAUCUCUUGCCCAAGACUACCCUGACCAUGACUCGACUGACCACCGCUCACCUGUUCACAACUCUCCUAACCAAGUCUCCGCUAACCGCUGACCACAACUCUCCUAACCACAACUCUUCUAGCCACAAGUCACCUGACCACAACUCACCUGACCACAACUCACCUGUCAAGUCUUUUCACAACUCUCCUACUGAUCAAGUCUUCGUUGACCAUGACAAACUGAGAAGUCAUCUCAUCCCUAGGUUUUUUUGUUUGGGAGGCACCUUUUGUAGUACUACUAAUGUGCGCUUUCGGCUACGUCUUCUCAUGUAUUCUAAUGCCACUAAUUUAGACUGCGUUGUUCUUUCGGUAGUUAACUAAUCUAUUGCUCUCUGAUUGUUUACUUUGCUCUACUUUUUGAUAACCAUCAGGGCUUACAUUUGGCCUCUUAAUCAUAAAUUCAAUCUACGUGAAAAACGUAAUAUCACUCACAAUAACUAAACAAAAAAAACAGCAAGAACAACCUUAGGGUCUUUUGUGGACGAGCCUUUAUGUUAAACUAACCACGAGAUCAUAUCCACAUGAAUCCAACAAUAACAAACAAAUACUAUCCAUCCACAGCUACACUUCCACGAACACAUCAACGAUAGAACGUAACGUUUUAUUUUUGACCUCGAGAAGAGCAUCCACACCUAUUAAUAAAUAUUUUUUUCUUCAUCUUCUUUGUUAAGACGAAGAGCAGCCCUCUUAACUACACAAUCUACCAAACACUAUCAACAGUCCUUAGAUCUUAUGCUUAUAAACAGAUCCAACGCCUCAAAUCAAUUACUUUUUUCUGAUAUAUCUACCUUUUAAUUUAACUGAACACAAACUUGGUUAUAACUCACUUAUCUUACGGCUNNNNNNNNNNNNNNNNNNNNNNNNNNNNNNNNNNNNNNNNNNNNNNNNNNNNNNNNNNNNNNNNNNNNNNNNNNNNNNNNNNNNNNNNNNNNNNNNNNNNUCAUAAUAUCUUUUAUUUCUUUUAGUUUAAAAAAAAAAAAAAAUUAAAAUUCUAACAAAUCUCUUGAAAAAGAUUAUAAUAAGAUCUUAAUUGUCAUAAAUUGAAUAUAAAUAUUUUCAACUAAUUUUGUAAUUAAUAAUUAAAUGUUACUAAAAGAAUAAAAUCAUAUCUUAUUUUAUCAAUUUUUUAAUAAUAUCUAUCAUUUUAAAAUAAAAAUGUUAUAUUGAACAAAAUAUGAUAAAAUUAUUUUAAAUUGAUAAGUUAACAUAUUUUAUUUUCAUAAAUAUAAAAUAUUUAUGCUAAAAAUAUAAUAUGUUGGUAGAACGGGUUAAUAUUAGUAAACUAUAUAAUACAUGUAUAAAAAUUUAACUUAUCUUAAACUUUUUAAUAUACAGUAAUUUAUUAUAUAAAAUUAAUAAACAUUAAAAAAUUACUAAAAAAUCUAGCAAUUUGAAUUACGGAUCAUGAUUAUAAUAAAUUAAAUACAAAAUUGUUUUCAUAUAUGUUGUUUCAUGUAUUAAAAAUUUUAGUUUAGUAAUCAAACACAAAUUCAAUAAGACAAAUAUAUAAUAAGCAACAUAUAUAUGUGAUGAUUUUAAUUUACAACAUGAAAACUAUAAAAUUAUUAUAUUUGACAUAAUUAUACAAACAUUUAAAUAUGUGAGUAACAUUAAAACUAUAUAAUAAUUAUGUAAAACAAAUAUCUAUAUAUAUAAAUGUGAAAAUAUAUACCCGCACGGUUGUGCGGGUGGAAAUCUAGUUUUGUUUAAAACCCAAUUAGAUCCGUUAAUAUUCAGUUAAUAAUGUCACAUAUUCAUAUAUUUUCAUUGUUGGAUUAAAAUAAAAAUGAGAUAUAAUUUAAAUUAGGAAUACUUAUUUUGGAUAUUAACAGAUCUACAAAUUAUAUUUUCAAAUUUUAGGAUAUCUACUAGAAAUUAGAUUGGAUAUAGAUUAUACAAAUUUUUAAAAUACAAUAUACAUGAUCAGUUUGAGUAUUUUGUAACUCAAAUCGAGUAAAAUACUUAUAGGGGUGUAUUUAAUUUCAAAUUUGAAGUGAUAUAUUUAAGUAAAAUUUUGGAUGAUUUUAGAUGACUAAAAAAUUUGGUGUGAUUUUCUUAUACCAUUCUAAUUUUUUUUUUAAAUACGAGAUUUGAAUUGUUAUUUUUUAUAAAAUAAAUUAUCUUAUAUUUUAAAGUGUUUUUUUUAAACUUAAUUUUUGAAUAAAAGUAGAUUUGAAACGAUUUGUAUUAAAUGGUGUGAUUGGCUAUUGUUUUAGAUGUUCUCCACCGUCACAAUUAUACAUAUAGUCUUAAAUCUACAUCAAUCUUGAUUUGUAUUUUUUUUAAAGCAUAUAGCCAUUUUUUUUUAAAUUCACGGCAUUUUCUAAACUCAUGUCUUUAUAAUUACUCUGUAGAGACAAAUACCUACAACCAAAAUUUAUAGACUUUUAAAAAUUAAAAAUCUAAACCCAAAGCAAAAAAAAAUCACAGCAAUAUUUAUACAGCCAAAAAAUAAAAUCACAGCUUUUACUGUAAGUUUGAAUAACUCUCUUGAUUAUUCACAAUGAUUACAGAGAUACAUAUAGUCGACACCGUUACAACAUUAGGUGAUAUUCCUAUAAUACAAGGAUUGUUAUCAACAGAAACAGAAUACGCAAGAAUAGUGGAGGCAUAUUCUAUCACCCUCUCUCAGUGUAAGCGGCAGGUUGUCGGACGGUUAGACUGGUUCUAAAGUCAAAGACUAGUGAGGAAGGUAAGCCUUUCGUGAAGAUGUCAGAAUAUUAGUAAGAUGUCGGAACAUGGAGGACCUUAACCUGACCAAGUGCUACCUUCUCUCAAACAAAAUGAAGGUCUAACUCCACAUGAUUGGUGCGUUGAUGUUUGAUGGGGUUCGCAGACAAGUAUAUAGAGCUAAUGUUGUCAUAGAAGACUAAUGUAGCUCGGGACAUUGGGUGAUGAAGCUCGAGCAACAUGUUUCUGAUCCAGCACGCCUCAGCUACCGUGUUAGCUACUCCUCGAUAUUCAGCCUCUGCACUUGAGCGUGAGACAGUCUGUUGCCGUUUGGAGGACCAAGAGAUGAGGUUGUCUCCCAAGUAGACGCAGUAGCCUGAUGUUGAUCGUCUUGUAUCAGGACAAGCGGCCCAAUCCGCAUCUAAAUAGGCAGUAAUUGUGUCUAUUUUUGACUUAUACAUUUGAAGUUCGUGAUCGACAGUACCUUGCACGUAGCGUAUGAUGCGUUUUAGCGCAUUGAGGUGUUCUGAUCGCGGGUCGUGCAUGAACAAGAAAUCUGUUGGACAGCAUAAGCUAUAUCUGGUCUGGUGAAAGUAAGAUAUUACAGUGCUCCAGCCAGGCUUCUGUAGUGCUUCGAAUUUGCGAUAUUGUCUCCUCCUUCUGCCAAUAGUUUUGAAUUGACAUCAGCUGGAGUUGAAAGAGGUUUGCAUCAUGUCAUCCCAGCUCUCUCUAUUAUCUCUGUUGCGUAAUGCUUUUGUGAUAGGAAUAUACCAGCUUUGUUGUAAUCUACCUUUAUGCCCAAAAAAUAUUUGAGCUUUCCCAUAUCUGACAUCGGGAUUUCUUGUUUCAGGCUUGUAGUGAUUCGUUGCAGCAGACUAGAACUGGAGCCUCUCAAGAUGAUGUCGUCUAUGUAUAGAAGCAGGUAUGCCAUCUCUCCGUACGGUUGUAAAUGAACAGAGAAGCAUCUGUUCUUGUUGUGAUAAAUCCAAGGUGCAAGAUGAAGUCGCUGAACCGUGCAUUCCACGCCCUCGGAUCCUGUUUGAGCCCGUAAAAUGCCUUCUCCAACUUGCAAACAUAGUGAAGAUAGUUCUUGUCGACAAAUCCUGGUGGCUAAUGCAUGUAAAUGUCCUCUGAUAUGGAGCCGUGUAGAAAGGUGUUCUUCACGUCUAACUGCUUCAUCUCCCAUCUGUGGCUUAGAGCAACAUUAAGAACCGUUCGUAUCGUAGCAGGCUUGACGACAGGGCUAAAUGUCUCAUCAUAGUCUAUCCCUUCCUCAUGUGUUAUUCCAUUUGCCACCAGCCUUGAUUUGUGCCUUGUCGGAUUCCCAUCUGCAUCAUGUUCAACUUAUACAACCACAGAGAGUUAAUAACGUUAGCAUCUAUUGGUCGAGAAACCAACCUCCAAGUCUUAUUGAUAACUUGUGCAUCAUACUCUUCCGUCAUCAAAGGUUUCCAAUUGCGAUCAGAUAAGGCUUUUUGGUGAGUAGUAAAAAUGCGAGAGGUAGAGGAAGCAUAAAGAGUGAAGAUCUUUCUUGGUUUAACAAUCCCUAGCUGUCCUCGAGUUCUCAUUCUUGGUGGAGAAGCAACCUGAGGAACAGCUUGAGUGAUAGGAACCGUUGUAGAUGAAUGAGAAGAAGUAGUGUUUGGCACAUUUGGAAUGGACUCUGUUUGGAGGAUGGAUUGAAAAAUAGGAGAAGGUGCGCAGUCAAAAAAUUCAUAAGAGGUUAAAUUAGAAGAUUGCUUCUGCGCACCUAGAAAUGUGACUCGUCAAAAACGACAUGACCUAAGAGAUCAAACCUGAAGCAAUGGGUGAUAAAAAGUUCUCUCCAUGUGUCGUAGUUAAAAACAUCAAGAUGAAGCACUAGUGGAAUGUGCUUUUGAUAUUCGUUACUCCAAAAGCUCUCUCAACCGUAGCCAUAAGAGAUCGAUUGUAGAAGAAUAAUUGAAAGAUGACGAUAAAAAAAAUUUUGAAUGAAGAGGAAAAUCAAAGAAAAUCAUGCUCUACAUGUAAGUUUGAAUAACUCUCUUGAUUAUUCAUAAUGAAUACAGAGAUACAUAUAUUUGAUAAUGUUACAAACGUGAGGUGAUAUUCCUAUAAUACAUAGAUUGCUAUCAAUAGAAACAGAAUACACAAGAAUAAUAGUGGAAGCAUAUUCUAUCACUUACCGUUCAAAUCUUUUACGAUAAGUCUAUUGUUAUUCAAACAAGAAUUUUUAAAGUUUAUUUAAAAUCUAUUGUUAUUAAACUUUAAUAUUUCAUAAAAUACUUUGAAAUUCACUGACAUAUUAAGUUGUAAAUUUAGAAUUUUCAAGUUAUUUUUAGAAUGUUUAAAUAUGAAUUUUUAGUUAAAAUAAUACAAAUUUUAUAGGUUUAGCUAAAAUUUUAAAGUUUGACAAAAAUCAUAUCAAAUUCUCUAAUUCAUAAAAGUCAUCUAACAUUCAUUAAAAAUCAAAUUACUUCAAACUAUAGACUGAAUACAACCUUAUUAAGCUUUUUUUUGUGUGUUUAGAUUCGGUUCGGUUAUCGUGUUAAUAAAAUAAAGAAACCAACAAUAAUAAUUGGGAUUAUAGAAGAAAAUACUCAAGUUAGGAAGGCAUGAUUAGGUUAUAAGCAUACAUAGAAAAGAUACAAAUCCGACGUGGCAGUCUAGGGAGCUUCGCUAACCAUUCCCCCAAACUCGAAGCCCAUAGACUCACUAUUAGACCCUCAUCACUCUUUUUUUCUCUUUCUUCUCUUCUCUCUCUCUCACGCUCUCUCAAUUAUUUAUACCAAAAACGCCACUGCUCUCUCUCCCCGGCGGCGAAGGUGGUUUAAGGCGGAAGGAGAUGGAAGGAGGAGUGUCUUCGGCGAAGUCAAUACUGGAGAAGCCUCUGAAGCUGCUGACGGAAGAGGACAUUUCUCAGCUGACGCGCGAGGAUUGCCGCAAAUUCCUCAAGGAGAAAGGUUCUCUCAUUUCCUCUCUGAUUUUUUGUUAAAUUAGUUUUUGAAUUUCUCUCCUCUCUUUUUCCUCUUUUCUUUAUUUCUCUUUCCCCGAGAAUGGCGGCUGACACGUGUCGUAACAGGAAUGCGAAGACCUUCUUGGAACAAAUCCCAGGCGAUCCAGCAAGUUCUUUCCCUCAAAGCUCUCUUUGAGCCCGGCGACGACUCCGGCGCCGGCAUCCUCCGCAAGAUCCUCGUUUCUCACCCUCCAAUUCCCUCUCGCGUGAGCUGUUUUCUACUUCGAUUUCGCUUCUCUUUCCCGUCCCUUGGUUUUGGUGUGCUGAUUUUUUUUAUGUUGACAGGUCACAACACCGUCGACUGAGCCAAGCAACGACCUCGGAGCUUGUGGCCAGAUUCCUUUUCAGGAAGAUGAUGGCCCUUCCCUCAGGAGAGAUUCCCCCAGAUCACCUGAGUUUUCUGGUGGCUCUGCUCACUAUCUAGCCGACAAAGACAGCCACAUAACACUCUCUCCCAGGUCUACCUUUCUCCGCUUGUAAUGUUGUUUAGUUGGUUUAAUAUCAUUUCCCUGAAAAAUAUAUUAAAAUGGUGAAGUUGGUCAGAGAGUACUUUGCUUAUAUAUUAAUGUUGGUGUUUAGGGGCUUUCUUUUGUUGGUGUUUCCAGAUCUUCUUGUUUUUUUCUGAAAUGAAAUGACUACCUUUCAUCAUUGCUACUUAAUGUUGCUUACUCCACUCGUCAAUGUCUUAUCUGUUUAGGAACAUGAGUUUUAGGUUAGUCCAUUUACUGUAUAAACCAAAGCUUAAUUAUAUACGGGUCUCGCUAUGAUGUGCUUCUUGUCAUAUAAACCAAUUUGCUACUCCAAUGUUGUUGUCUGUAAUAUUUCCAGCAGAAGCCCAGCAGAAACAAGUGCGCUGGCUGGGCAAUUGACGAUAUUCUAUAGUGGAAAAGUUAAUGUAUAUGAUGGUGUACCACCUGAAAAGGUAACAUUAUUGUGUCCUGCCUAAAAAAUGGAAAACCUUGAUGGCAUGUUUUUUUGAUUAUGCAUCUCUCUCUCUGUACAUUGUUUUGCAGGCUCGGUCAAUCAUGCACUUUGCAGCCAAUCCUAUUGAUUUUCCUGACAGUGGUGUUUUUCCUUCUAGUCGAAUGAUUUCCAGGCCCGUGAGUAAAGGUACCAAAGCUUUUGUCAGUUGAUAGAUGGAUGUUUCAAACUUGAAAUGAUUUUGUUUCCAUGUGUGUUAUCAAACUGGAAAAGUGAAUGGACCUGCUUUUCUGACAGAUGUUGUACAUCUUUGCACCUUUUUGCGCCAGAUGUUUAUCUAGUUUGAAUCCAAUUUUCUAUUUCUAGAUUCAAGUUUCAAACAAAUAGAUAAUUUGAUGAAACUGUGAUUCCGUUUUGCAGAAAAGAUGGUGGAGCAUCCUCAUUAUGGCCUUGAGAAGGCAAAUGCUUCUCGUGAUUCUGGUACAAAACAGUGCUGGCGCAUUACCUUAAAGAUAUAGAAACCAAAUAUUUCUAAUGAUGCUUAAACACCUGCUUUCACUUUACAUGCUAUGCGUCUCCGUGUUCACUUUAGGCAGAUAAAUUUGACUUGCUUCUUCUGCUUGAUAUUAUGAACUGGAAAUCCUGUUAGGUGUUAACCAUAGUAGUUCUUGUGUGUGUUUUGGUCUUUCUGAAGAUGCGGAGGGUCAGGCGAACAGAAAAGUGUCGUUGCAAAGAUAUCGUGAAAAGCGGAACGAGAGGUAGGUACUUCGAAGAAACGAUCCAAAAAUACUUAGGGGUUAUCUCCAAAAGAUCGGGGGGAUACUAAUGUGUGUGUUUUCUUUGCGAGGAGAAGAUUGUUUAAGACCAAAAAGGCUCCAGGAGUGGGAUCAUCUAGCUUGGAGAUGUAUCUGAACCGUAGUCAGCCACUGAUGAACGCUGCUGCAUAUUCACAAAACCCUAGUGGCGGCACAGGAGGAGAACACCAGUCACCUCAAAACCAGACAAGAAGCCCCAAUUUUUCAGUUGAUCUGAACUGUGAUCUAAACAGUGAAGGUAAGAACUAAGAAGAUAAUCAAUCAUAUUGAAAAUUAUAAAUGGUUCAAAUGAUUUUCCGUCAAAGCUCUCAUCGAUUGUGUUUUCUAGAUAUCUAACACGAUGCUUAAAAGCCGGGUUAAGCUCAAUACACGAAGGAGAGGAACAGUUGAUGUUCUUUUUUGAAAAAAGUGCCGUGUACAAGAAGGGAUAAAAAAGCAGACAAGGAAUGUUCAUUGUAUGGAAGAAACAUGGCUUAAGAAUGAGCUGGAGGAGAAGUCUUGUGAUCUCGAUUAUCUGUUUUCUUUUUGUUGUUGUUUUGUUUUGGGUCUGUAGUUUUGAGUUAGGUUAGUGACGGGAAUGUUCUUUGUUUCAACAUAGAGGCAAAGAGAGAGUGAGAGAAUGGCUGGGGGAUUUUUCUUCCGGUCUGUAUUAUGUAAAUGUUGACGCUUCUGAAAAUGAGACCUCUUUUUUUUUUAUUUGAUACCAAAACUUUUGAGUUUCCAUUGCUACCAGAGCCGGUCUUUGACUACAAACACGCUCAUGAACACACGAGAUUGGGGGUUUAGUAGGUUUGUUAAAUAUUUUGGGGCCAAAAUUUCAUAUUAGUCCUCAAAAUCAGUUGACUUAGUUUUGUAAAAUUUAUGUAUAAAUGUCUCAGGUUUGAAGCAUGGACACGACUUCUUCUCCUUUCUUUAUGACCAUGAAUCCUUCUAAUUAUUGAUAAUGUUUAAUUCAUCGAUAUGCAAGUAUGUAUCAUGUUCUUUUUUUUCUCAAAGAUUCUGUUCAUGCCAAACAAUUUAAUAUGUAGAAAAAAAAAUCCAUAAAUUACUUCUUUUCAAAUGUGCAUAAAGUCUAAUAUAUACAUUUCUACUAUAUAAAAAGAACUAAAUUGGAGGUUCCUAAACUAUGCCACGUCACCAAAAAUAUUUAGAGCCAAUCAAUGUUACACAUCAGCAUGUCAAUUAACUAAAUUAAGUUGAUUCAGUUUUACUGAAUUAACUUUUGUGUUUGAAUCUUCUUAGAAUUAGAAUAGGUUUUGUUGAAAAAGAAAAAGAAGUAAUGCAAAAUUGUGAUAAGGACACCAUAUGGUAUGAGGUCAUUUUAUUUGUUUAUUUUAAGGCAUGAAUGAGAGAGAAAUUCAAUCAAAUCGACUGUUGUCAUGUGUGAUUAUUUUUUUUUUUAUCUCCAAACAACGAUGGAUAUGGUCGGAAACGCAUCUCUAGGGUUGACACAUGAUGAGGGGUAGUAUAGUCUUUUACUUAAGAAACCAAACCCAUGUCUCUCUCUUUAUAUUUUUCCCUUAAUUUGAAAAAGAAGAUAUUCAUUCUAUUCGCGUGGUUUCGACGACGAAGAAGGAACAACGCAUAACGAUGGGUGAAGCCGUGAAGGUAUCAUCCUCUUUCUCCUCCGCUUUUGAUUUUUCUCGCCGAUUGUUUUCCGGUUAGGUUCCGGUUUUAGCGAUUCGUUGAUUCGAUUCUACCAUUCUGGAUAAAUCAAUCGACGAUUUCUCAAUCUGUUUGUGGGGUUUAGCAUCAAAAAUGAUGUAUUUCUUGUGUUGGUAAAGGAUGGAAGAGAAGAAGUGAUUCAGGCUUGGUACAUGGAUGAUAGCCAAGAUGAUCAGCGACUUCCUCACCACAAGGAUCCUAAAGAGUUUAUCUCUCUCGACAAACUUGCAGGUUUGUGUGUCUUUAUUAAUAUGUGCUGCUUCUUACAUCUCUUCUCUCAUGUAAUGUUGCUGUGCAGAGCUUGGAGUCCUUAGCUGGAGACUUGAUGCUGAUAACUACGAAACCGAUGAGGAGUUGAAAAAGAUCCGCGAGUCUCGUGGUUACUCCUACAUGGUUUGUGAUUCCGACCCCUUUAUCUGAUAAUUGAGUGCUAAAUGUUUGAUUUUGAUAAGGACACACACCUCAGAGAGAUGUUUAGCUGCUCAAGCCUUAUCUAUAGGUCUACCAUAUCUAGUGGCCUAAAGGCUGAAUUUAACAAAUUAUAUUAUAAAGUUGAGUAGUGAGCACUUAGUGAAAGGGUGAGUUUAUAAUUAAGGAUGUCUUGGCAGAUUGUUUAAAGGGUAGAUUUUUUUUCUGGAACAAGACGAGUAGUUUUACAGCUUUGAGUUUGAUUCAGGACUUUUGUGAGGUAUGCCCAGAGAAGCUUCCAAAUUAUGAAGAGAAAGUAAAGAGCUUCUUCGAGGAACAUCUCCACACUGAUGAAGAGAUCCGUUACUGCGUUGCAGGAAGUGGUACGUGCCUUCUUUUUAUUGGCUACUUUACUUUAAAAAAAAAUAUGUCACUCCUCAAUCUUUAAUUUCCUUGGAAAAAAGGCUACUUUGAUGUGAGGGAUCGCAACGAAGCUUGGAUCAGAGUUUGGGUGAAGAAGGGAGGAAUGAUAGUCUUGCCUGCUGGAAUUUAUCAUCGCUUCACCGUGGAUUCUGACAACUAUAUCAAGGUUUGCAUAAACUACUACAUACGUGCUUGUCAUUUAUCAUAUAUGUUUUUUGGUUACUUAGAAAAUUGAAAACUCUGGUUCAUACAGGCAAUGCGUCUUUUCGUGGGUGAACCGGUGUGGACACCAUACAAUCGUCCACACGACCAUCUUCCUGCAAGGUACAUAUGCCAUGUUUUCCAACUCAUCGAAAGCACUAACUCUGUGCUUUUUCUCUUAUGCGAACAUUACAAUAACAAGAAAACUUUAUUGGUUUUGUCUGCAGGAAAGAAUAUGUCGAUAACUUCGUGAAGAAAGCCAUUAACGCCUCUGCUUAGAGAGCGCGCUCUCUCUCCUGCUUCCAAAAAAGAGAGGUUCUAUAAUAAACUUGGCCUACAAUAAAGAGAGAUCUUGAAUCUAUAAUAUGCAUGUGGAGAAUGAUGGCUUUGGUAUGCAUGUGUUGUAUACUUAUUAAUAACACUCUGUUCGUCUUUAUUUACAAUCUUUGCCGUGUCCGUUUUACGAUAAAUUGUAUCGACUCAGUUUGAUCAUAUAUUUUCCUGCGUACGUUUCUUUGUGAGCUGUGUUCAACUAAGGGAAAAUAAUAAGAGUUGUUUAUUGCUGUGUGGGUAAUAUAAUGAGCCUUAUUAUACAUGUCAAAUGUAUUCUCUUGUUUGUGAAAACCAACAAUUUAAAAAAGAGAAUUUUGCUAAAAGAAACAAAAAAACUUAUACAUUGUUCUUUUAAAUCAUUUUAGGGGUUUUUGUCCACUCAGAAUUAAUUGUAACUAGAUAUUGACCCGCGUUGAAACGCGGUUAUAUUUUUUUUCAUUUUAGUUAUAAAAUCGAUAAUCAAAAUUAUUGUUAAUUCAAAAUAUUAGAUUAGAUAUUUGCUUGUUUGGAUUUGUGUCACUAUUGCGGAAACAUUUAUGGCUGAGAAAUUUAGUCUAAACCGAUGGAUCAUGUCCUGUUUGACUUGCGGAUCGAUUUAUUUUUAAAAUAUGAAUUGCGAGUGCGGUUAAAAUUAUUUUAGGCGGGACAUGUACCACCAACCCGCAAAUUUCUAAAAAUAUUUUCGUUGAAAUAUAUUAAAUAUUACAAAUAUUUAUAUUAUUUUGAUUUUAAAUAUAUUAGUUAAAUAAUUUUAAGCUAAAUAAUUAAAAUAUAUAUUUUAUAUUUAAUAAUACUGGCAGAUCCUGCUGGUUACCAACAUUUUUUUGCGGGUUAUGCGGUUAUAAAUUUGUUACUUUGCAAAUUACGCGGAUCAGGUUUUAUCCUCAACCCAUUCCUAAGAUCAAUCUUACCCGAUUUUGUAACAAUCAUUAUAUAUGUUGAUAAUUAAGAUUUAUUGUAACGAAUAUAUAAUCUAUUCUUUUAAUUUAGGUUUCAUAGCCUUUACAAAUAUCCAUAAAUGAAUAAGCUUCAGAUGAUUUUUUUAAUUUGAACGCUUGAGGUGUUGUUGUGAACUUGUGAUUAGAAAAAUGCAAUCGAGCGUUGUCUAUAUAUAAUGUUUAUGGUUAGGUUUGCUGUAGCUUAAGGAUUCCUUAUUAUGUGGGAUAAUAUUUUGUAAUCUUCGAGGCUAUCAUCGAAUUCUAAUUGUUUUUUAAAUAGUUUGUUAUUAAUUAUUAGUAAAUAGAUUGUUAUCUUCGAGGCUAUUUUUAAGUCUAACAAAGAAUCAAUCAACUUAGAUUCAGUUAACAUAUAGCACAAAAAUAAGGUGUAAAAAGAGUUAGCGUAUCUAGUCUGUUAUAGAAGCAAAGAGGAACCAAACAUAUACAUGUUCCUUGUGUGCUGAUAUGAUGUCGAUAAGAAAAAAAUAUAAAUCAACUUAGAGCAAAGUUUCAUCUAUAGUAAAAGAGGUCCAAGUGAGAGUUAUUGUAUGUGCUAAUAAAUUAAAAAAAAUACAAUCGGUCUACUUUAAUUUUAAUAGAACAUAAUUCGUUUGGUUUACUUAUAAUAGAGUAGAUUGUUGGUUUAAUUUAAGUUGUCCGGUUUUAAUGUAAUAAUAGUGUCUAAUAUAAUUAUAUUGUAACUAACUCAGAUAUGGUCCAAAAAUUAAGUAAUAUAGUAACAAACUUGAAACAGUCCAAAAUUUAAAUGACAACUUUAAUGGUAGAUAAAUUUAGGACUCUAUUUUAAUAGAGUAGAUGGUAAUCUCAUUUUGAUCCUCUAAUUAUACAAUUUAAAAACUUCUAAAAAUAAAUUAGUUUCAAACAUAUUUUCAGUAUUAAUUUUUUUCUUUUUCUUUUAUUUUUUAAUAAUUUUUUAAGUUACUAAGAACAUCAUAUCUUUCGUGGUUAUGUUUCCGCUAGAGUUUUUCAUCUUCAUAUUUUUUAUAUAAUAAAUCACAAGUCAUGUAACCAACAAAUUUCUGACGCAUAACAUUUAUUUACCAAAAAUAAGUAUCAACAGGUUCAGAUUUAAAAAAAAACAUAUCAACUAUAUAUUCCAUCAUGUCACGAGAUCUAUAACUUCCAAGCAAUUAAUUUAAAAAUUUAUUCUCCUUCUUUUUUUUUCCAUUUUUCUUUGUUUUAAAUGUAGCAAAAAAUUGAAUCUAUACAAAUUUAUGUUUGGCCUUUAUUGAGAUUGAUUUUAUUUCCUUCUCAAAUUACUACGUUCUAAUUCUUCUCAAUUCUCUUUGCAUUAUUUAAUUUGAAGAUGGUUACAUUUCUACUAUAAAUCUUCAAAAAAACUAAGUGUUUUGUCUGCAACUUGGUAAGAGUAAGUAUAUCUGAUUCUGCUAUAUAUGAAUUGAGUUUUUACGUUUGUUAUGGUUUGACAAGUUUACAAAUAUGGCUUUAUAGCAUAACAUAUUCUUAUAAUCUGUGUACGAGUCUAUUAUAUACAAAUUAAUUAAUAUAUAUUUUGUACUUUGAAGUUUCAGGUUAGUGAUGACUGCACUUGAAAGGGAUGGAGAAGAAUACCAAAACGCAAGUUAAAAAAAAAAAUCCCAAGAUAUGUUUUUUUAUAUUCAAUAGGACAUUUUUUUCUUUUUACUGGGCAUCAGAUUGCAAAACUUUCGAAUAAAUACUUUCAGUAAAAGUUUAAUGUUUUUUAUUAUUUAUUUUAGUUUUAGUUUUAAUUUUAUUUUAUUAAAAAUAAAUAGAUUUAUAUUUUUUUAAAGACUUAUAAACUAAACUAAACGAAUCAUAUAUAAUAUUUAACUAUUUUUUUAUUUGUUGGUAUUUAUUUAUUAUUUUUAUAUAAAUAUUGCUUCCAAACAUGUAUUUCUGAAACAUCGUAAUAAUCCAUUUAACGUUAUAACCUAUUUUGUUUCAAUGCGACACCUCUAAUUUUAGCUUUUAGUUUAUCCAACUCUCGAGAAAUAUGACAAAUAAAUAUUUAGUUUUGAUAGAAAUUUUUUAAAAUUCAACAUUUACCAAAAAAAGCUAAUUUUAAUGCAAACAAAAUUGGCCUGUGUAUUGCACGGAAUGAUAAUACUAGUUUAAUUAUAAUUUAGAAACUAAAUAAUAAAAAAAAAAAAAAAUUUGAAAGCACCGUAGCCUAUGGUUAAAGUUUAAAGGCUUCUACACUCAGGUUUGGAGUUCGAACCCCAGACUAUGCAAUUUUUUGCAGAUUACAGGAAAUUCAGGUUUCAAGUCCCGGAGAAGAGCGAUUUAUUAAUGCAGACUACACAAAAAAAAGGUUUCCAAGGAAGCUUCAACAUGGUGCAAGUAAAUCUGGUCAGGAAUGGAUCUUCAUAGGACGGCUCUGAUAAUGCAGUUAGGCAUAGAUCUUCAUAAGGCAUGUAGUAUUGUCAGUUGUCGAUUGUCUAUGUAAUCUUUCUCAUAAAUAUAAUGUCAUAAUAAAUCAACGUAAAAAAAAGCAAAAAAUAAACUAAUGACAGAGUGACACCAUUAAAAUGAGUCUCUUCAACUUUGUCAAAAGGUUUUUCUUCAACAAUCGUCUCUCUUUCUUUCCUCUCCAUUUUCUAUUUUCUUCAUUAUUAUUAUUGUUAGAAACGUGUCGAGAAUCUCCCAGCUCAGAGCGCUCUAAGACUCCAACUGGUGAUGAAGAAAACAAAUUGUAACAAAUGUUUUGUUCCUCGAAAUUUAUACCAAUUAGGUUAAGUUUUUGGUCAAAUUAUUGAUAAGUAGAUCCUACUAUUUUCCUCUAAAUUCCUCAUAGAAGAAUGAAUUUAUAAAGACUAAAUUCCCUCUGCAAUUCUGAUGAGGAAUCAAAUGUACAAAAAUUUCUAUCUUUUACUUUUUCAGUUCCUUAAAUGAAAAUUUAUUUUUCAUUUUAUUCAUUUUUCUAUUAAUCUGGUGGUCACCAAUCAAAGCCUAAAUGAAAAAAUCGAAAAAACGUUCGUCUUUUUUUACUCAUUUCCAUGAAACUUUGAAGGGGUAAUUUCUGUUAUCAUCGUCGAGGUUUUCUUUUUGAUGUGUCUUGGUUCACUGGCGAGUGUAAAGUCGGUGUCACUUCUCUCGUUCCUCAUUCCUCAUUUUUCUUUUUCUUUCUCAUUCCUUUUUCCUAUUUCUUUCUUAUCGGUUAUAAACCACCUUGUUAUUUUCAUAGGCGAAAAUUAAUUAUUCAACAUGGAACAAGCUUUCCUUCACUGGUGGUGAUCAUUAGGUUUUUCCCUUAUGUUCUUCUUCCAUCGCGGUUCCUCCUUUACCAAAAAUUAAAAGUUAAGAGUUUUGAGAUUUCUUUUUUUAAUUUUAUUUGUGUUUGUUUUUGUUGAUGUACAUAUACAGUUUAAAUUGCACACAAUUAACUAUUAUAAUCUAAGAGGCUGAUUCACAUUCAGAGAUUUGAAUUCCUCUCUCUUUUUUUUGUUUUGUUUAGUUGAAUUUCUAUGAAUUUGAGAUGUUGAUAUUUGUGCAUGUUCUGUGUAUAUUUUCACAUGUAAAAAAGAUCAAUUUAGUUAAUGGUAGGACUUAGUAUGCGGUAUUAUUUGAUAGUGUUCAAAUUGAAAAUCAACUUAUAUGUUGUUUAAAAUCAGAACUUGAAUGCCUAAUAUGUUUGAUGUUGUUAGCAAAUGUGAGGUUGAGUUUGAGUUUGAUUGCCUAUUAGGUUCUAUGGUCUUGGCAUAUUUGUGUCAUGUUGUUUUGUGGUUCAAUACAAUUUGUUUUUCAUUUUGGAUGUAUAUGAAUUCCUUUAACGAAAUCUUUAUUUUCAUGGUUUAUAGGAAUAACUUACGAAUUGUCAAAACACAUAAUUGAAGAAAAAUUUGAAUUUCUUGUUGAUAAGAUUAACAACAGAUGCAAAUUGACGAUUCUAAAGAUAUUGAAGAUGGUUCUUAAAGAGUACAACGAAGUGUCGAAAGACUCUGUCUUUGGUAUUAUUGUGGCAAUCAAUGAACACAAUCUUGGAUAUCAGGGAAGGUUAUUCACAGCUUCAUAUACAAACAACUAAUUAGUUUCAAGCUACACGAGUUAUGGUUUCUGUUAGCAAGGAGGUCUAUUUGGUUUUCGAUAAUGUCAUAUUGUGACUGGACUCAAAUGCAAAGAAGAACCCAAUAUAGACUUUGAAAAUUAAAAGGAUGAUAAGGGGUUAUGGAGUAGGAUGCUUAUGUGAAAUGGAAUGAUCAACAUAAGACAACUAAGGAGGAGCACCUUAAAGUCCGUAACAAAGUGUUUAUUUUUGGACAUGGUGAGCCUAGUGUAUAUGUGUGUUAUACAUGAAUUGGUCACUGCUAAGGAUGACAAGAUGUAUAUCUCUUAUGUUUGGUAAAUAAGAUGUAUCUUUGGGGUCUUCAUGUUUAUGAUGAGCUAAAUGCAUCAAUACUCAAAGCAAAGAAAAAUGUGCAUCUGAAGAAUAAUUAAAUGUUGGAAGGAUUUUUCUAUGUAUUUUAGAUUUGGCUUAUGGAAGCGAACCCAAACAUUGAUACUUUGUUGGGUAAAAAGAUCAGGCAUCAUCAAAUUGAGAUGUCGGAAUUGGAUAGGAGCUGAAAAAAUAUCCUAUCACGAUAUCAAAUACACAAAAUACGGCUGAACCUGGAUGAACUCGGUUAAACCAUGACUCAAAGACUUAUUCGGUUCGGUUGCUGGCCCAGUUUUUAAAGCAUUGAGGUUUUUCAGAUCAUAUUAAAAACAAAACUUUGAUUUACUUAUUAUCCUCCAAAUUCUCCCUUAAAACAUAGCUAAAGGGUAACACAAGAAAUGCAAAAAAGAAGAAAAAAAAAGACUUAGACAAGAGUCCCGCCUUUGACGUACUCAGUGAAAGCCAAGGCCACGAGGCCGAGCAUGGCGAAUCGACCAUUCCAUAGCUCGGCAUCUGACGUCAUAAACCCUUUGGAUUUUGACUCUGCCCUUAUUCCCUUGAACAAUGGAAUCAUCGAUGCCAACGUUAGCAACGCCGUUGUUCCUAGAAACCAUCCGACUCCACCGUCGGAGAUUUGAGCAAACAUGUUCUCUCCCUUCGAAAGCUCCACCGCAAUCGCCGCUACGAACCCUACCAUAGCGAGUCUCCCGUUUAUUCUUUCGGGCGCUGGACCGCUAAACGCUAAAAGAUCACCAAACUUCGUACUCACCUAUAAAACAAUUGACAAAUCAUUCAACCCACACUUGCAUAAUGAAAUUAUAAUGAUAUUAUAAUGAUAUUAUCGUGUUAACGAUUUUUAUUCCUUUAUUUUUUUGAUAACCAAGAUUAAUCUCUGAAGUCUACCGUAUGAUAUUCUUGCUAUUUAAUAUUCAUUUAACCAUGACUAAAACACAAUACAGAAUUCGAACUAUAUGUGGUCUCCAAAAUCUAAUAUAAAUUCUUCGACCCCCAUGAGUUGAUUAUGAUAUUAAUGACUGAUCAUUAGAUCAUACCUUAGGCUUGCUAAGUGGUGGAGGAGAAUACAACGGCGUCUGAGGUGGAGUGGCCGAGGUUGAAGGCAGAGGAGAUUCUUCCUUGAUAGGAUCGUCCUUAAGAAAGGGUAAACGCAACGAAUGGUCAGAAUUAAAAAAAAAAGUCAAACAAGUAACGUAGGGAAGAUUUGCUGUAUAAUAGGAUGCACUGUAAUUACGUAUGUACCUGAGCCAUGCACCUGACUCCCACCAAAGGAUUUCUAGUGGAGAAGACUUGGUUUGUGGUUCUGAUGUUGCGAGAGCCCAAUCCACCGGAAGGAGCGGCGAACACUGACAGCAUGCUAAACGACGCCGUUGCCAUUUCUGAUUAGGUUUGAAUGAUGGAGUAGGAAGAGAAGUAGUGAAUGAGAUAGACUCAGGAUCAUCUUAUUUAUAGAGUGGGUGAAGGUGAAAUGAAAGGUCCAGUAUUUUUCUAAAAUUUUAUUUAUUUAUUUUAUAUGGAAUGUUUAUUUUCUUUUUAUUGUACUAUCAUGAUGCCACCACAGUUGGGAGAAAAAUAGGAAUGAAAUCAUUUAUUUUUGAAAACAGGAAUGAAAUCCUUUAUUUUUGAAAACAGGAAUGAAAUCAUUUGACUAAGAAGAAAAUUUGAAACCAUUGAAUUCUGAGCUAAAUCUCGAUGUUCCUACUAAAGAGAUAUUUUCCAUCCUUAUUUAGUUAUUCUAUACGUGAAAUCGUAGAAGUAAAAAUAAUAUACAUGCAUUUGAAUUUGAACGUUAAACAAAUAAAAACACGUAGGAAAUAAAAUUUGAAAAAGAAGUGGGGGAUCUGGAAGAAGCCACGUCUAGUUGAAAAGUGAAAUCGAAUUGACGACGUGCUUGCUUCAUCCCACACACAAACAUCUUACUUGUCGUUUUAGUAUUGGCCAAGGCACGUAAAAAGAUUUAUCCUACAGUACUGAAAACAAAAGCGUCACAAAAUUUCACUCUCGAAUGUUUUUGUUUCUGGUAGUUUUGAACGAGAGAGGUCGCAUUCAUUUUUGUAUGGAGUUGGAACUUACUUAACUUCAUUAUGGCAGACCCAUGAUGACUCAUUUUGGUCUUUUCUGUUUCCCAUUUACAGCUGCGUGCCCAAAUCUCCUACGUGCACUGUCUUAUACCUUAAUAAUUAAGAACACAAUUUUUUAUAAAUUGAACAAUAUUUGAAGGGAAAUUAGACCCAAUAACAAAAAAAAAUGCAAAUUCACUAACUACACAAAACCAUCCCCCCUCUCCUACUUUCUCUUUCUAUUUCUCUCUACCCUUUCUCUACAAACGUAAUUUCCAAUUUUUUGGUUAUUGGCAAAAUAAGCCCAUAUUUGAAGUAUCACCCAUAAAGUUUAAUAUUUUGCCAAAAAUCUCAAUCACUGUACAUAUGGUAUACACAUUGAAAUAAUUAGAUAUCCUGCUAAGAUACUUCUUAGCUCUUAUCCGAAUUUCAAUCAUUUUGUUAAGCAUGAAUUGUUUAAUUAGUUACAUGUUAUAGUUUCUAAUGCUUGCUUCAACAUCAAAUACGAAAGAAUUAUGACCAUAUAUUUUUAGAGUGUUUAGAGUUUAAGGCUAUGAAUAAGCCGUGCUCGUUUGCAUGAGUGACAUGAGAUCAAAAAUAUUGUUCGUUUCCUUGUUGUAGGUCCUGCGAUUUACGAUUUGCGAAGAACUUUUGUUUGUAAAGACUCCAAAGAAGGUUUUAGCAAAGCCGAACAAUAAGGCUCUGAGGCCCAUAAGCCAAAUAACGUUUAAAGAUAGUAACCUAAUAAGCACGGAAAAGACAAGAACACACAAAAGCAUUUGUCUUUGAGUGAAAGAACUUUGCUUGUAAAGACUUGAUAUAAAGAGUGUGAUUCUAGUAGAUUCUGAGAUGAGAAAUAAUGGAAGCCUAAACUUAUUAAAAAAACCCUCCCCCUCGGUGUCAAGAUUUUUUUUUUUCUUACUUUGCUCUCUUUUCUUAGUUCAAGUAGUUUGUUCUUUUCAGUUUACGAACGUAUGACACCUGAGUGAAAAUGAGUCAGAGUUUAUGCUAAAUUAAGAGACUAUUAUUACAUUUAAACAUCACAAAGUUAGUUCUUGUAAAAUAGCAAUUGAGUUGCAGAAAAAUAUCUGAAACUUAUAGUUGCCGCUUGUGAGCUUAAGGUUUAUGAUACUCUUUCAAAAAUUAAAGUCAUUGAACAACUUCAUUAACUUGUUUUUAACACUAUCUUUUUAUCUUAUUAGAAUUGUUUGAAACUAUUCCAUUAUACAAAAAUCGACCUACAAAGAGAAAGCUAAUGACUUUUUUUGCAUAAAAUGUGGAGAUAAUCUUUAAUACAUUAGUGAGAUAUCAUGAAGUUUUUAUUUUAGAGUUUGAAGUAAAUAUGUAGAUUUUCCCGCAUCAAAAUUAGCACUCAGACUUCUAUACCUUUUAUGCUGAUACAACAAUUCUCAUAAUUUGUAUAUGCUUCCUAUUGUCUUUGUCAAUUCUGUUUAGUGUUCAUUUUAGGAAAAGCUAAGAUGAACAAAUUGGAAAAAAUGAAAGUAAAAGACGAACCAAAACAGCCCAAAACUCUAAAACGGAAUAUUAGAGCUAGAAAACAAAACACCAAAAACACAAAAGCCCAAAAAACUCUUAAGAAUCCGGUGCUAAAAACAAAAAACUUCUUUAGUUAUUGUCGUUGCUGCAACAAUGCAUCAGAUCCAUCAAUACCAUUCAGAAGACCAGUUUUAACUCUCUGCGUACUAUUACAAUGAUUUCCAAUGAAAAAUAUCUCUAACUAAAUCUAAAGAACACCAAAUUAUUACAGAUGCAGCUGGAAACCACCAACGAAACACCACCACCUUCAAAUCUGUCAAAUUGAGAACUAAAUCCACACAUAAAGCUUCACCAUAUAUAACAUACAAUAGUUUUUUAACUAUCAUAUUAAAUCAAAUUCUCUGAAAAUGAGUAAAAACAAAUAAAAACAAAAUGUUAGAGCUUAAAAGCAACAUACGUUGACCGACAGAAGCAACAAGCUCUAGGACUGCAUCUGGGAUAAUUCGGUGUUAGCCCAUGACAUUCUCUUUUUCAAUUAUCCUUACGGCCCAUGAGUGUAUAUGAGGGUAGGUCGACCCUCUGAAUUCUUAUUUGCACAUGUUGAACGUGAACUCCUUAAACCACCAAUAAACUGGCUCAACUACGACAUUUUCCAUGCUUUUUACAAGAUGGAGCAUAUUGUCGUCUAUUAAAUAUAUUAUUUGGUUAAAUUUAUUUGUUGUAAAGGGUGGACACAUGAUUUCGCCGUCAAAAAAGAAAGAAAGAAGUCGACAAAAACAAAGAAAUCAGAUAUGAUUUGCACCUGUACACGUAGUUUCCUGGUAGCUCAGGUCAACAAGGUCAAGUCAAAAGUGAUGAGCUCUUCAUAAUGAGUCGACAAAAAUGUGAUUUAACAAAUACAGCAUUAAUACUACCCAAAUAGAGGCACCUUUUCUUGAACCGGAUUUUUUUUUCUAAUGAAGAUAUACUAUAUUAUAUAAGUGAAACUUUAACUAGACAAAUAAGAAUAUUGGUGAUGAUAUCACAUGGACCUUCACGUGAUUCUAAUAUUCAAUUUUGCCUGGUUGGUCGUCAGAUAGUGCUGGUGGAACCUCGACGGAUUUUUGGAUAAAAUUCGAUUAUACGUACCAAUACCAUUGGGGUCCUAACUCAUUAGUAUUAUUUUUUUAAAUUGUUUGUCUUGCCAAAUAAAAAUUUAUAUGGUUUGUAUUAAGACUGGACAAAUUAGUUUUUUUUUUUUUUUUGCUAAAUAGACAAAUUAGUUGGAAUCAAAAUACCAUACCGAAUUUAAACAAGAGAUCAUAAAUUUCCACGUUCAAAAAAUAAUAUAAAUUUCUAACAAUAUUUUUAAUAUUUUAAGUAUUCCAAAUGAAAAUCAAAUAUAGAUCCAAAGCAUAAUGUACAUUCAAAAAAAUAUAUUUCUUGUAUUAGUUUAAAUUUAAAAAUUUAAAUUAUAUUCAUCAGUUCAAAAUUUUAAUUAGUUUAAUGAAAAUAUCAAAACUAUUUGAAGUUAUCUGAAAUUAUUAUUUAAAUCAUCCAAAAUUAUUUUAAAAUAUUAAUACUAAAUGAAAUUUAACUUUAGUCUAUAUUUUAAUUAUUCAAAAAAUUGAAAUAAUAUGUUGUUUAUUUUUUUUAUUCCUUGAUUUUCAGUUUUUUAUCCGAAUUAACAAAAAUAUAUAUUAAAUUUGAAAAAUAUCCAAUUUUUUAAAAAAAUCUAUAUAUAUUUAUAAUAAUAUAAAAUUUUAAAACAAAAACGCUAACCAAACAAUAACGGACAGAUAAAUACUCAUGCUAUACUAUCACAUUUUUUGAAAUGGUCGAUAAAAACUGAACGUGGUAGAAAGGAACAAGUGUCCAGGUACAUUUGCAAAAGAGUCCUUAAAGUAAUCAGAUUGGUCUUUAAAAAGAGCCUCCAUACUCGCACUUCUACUUCCACUUCAAAACAGAAUCAACUAUCCAAUUCUCUCUCUCUCUCUCUCUCCCUCCAUUAGAGAAAAGCUUGAACCAAAGCAAAUUCACAUUUUAAUUCUCCUUCAAUGGCCUCCAUGUCCACCGCCUUCCCCAAAACAACUCCUUUCCUCUCUCAUCCUCUCGCCAAAUCCGAUUCCCUGAUCGCAACCACCGUUUCAUUUCCCUCCAGCUCGAGAUCUCGCAGCCUCCGAAGAGCCACCCUCCGCGUACGAUCCGCGCUGAUCGAGCCAGACGGCGGGAAGCUGAUGGAGCUUGUGGUCCCGGAGCCGCGACGAAGGGAGAAGAAGCACGAGGCGGCGGAUUUGCCGAGAGUGAAACUUACGGCGAUCGAUUUACAGUGGAUGCACGUGUUGAGCGAAGGCUGGGCAAGUCCGCUUAGAGGGUUUAUGAGGGAAGCUGAGUUCCUUCAAACUCUUCAUUUCAAUUCGCUUCGUCUCGACGACGGAUCCGUCGUCAAUAUGUCUGUACCUAUCGUUCUUGCCAUCGAUGAUGAACAGAAAGCCCUCAUCGGAGAAUCGAAACGUGUCGCGCUUGUUGAUUCCGAUGAUAAUCCAAUCGCUAUUCUCAGCGAGUAAGUUCAUCCCUCCCUGUUAAUCUUGAUCUGAUGUGGCUUUGGGCUUCGGCCCAGAACCAUCUGAUAUUAAAAGAAAAAAUUGAAGCCCUUUAUAGUUUGCUUUAACAAAUAUAUGUGCUUGUUUGUUUUGGUUUCCUCAGCAUUGAGAUAUACAAACAUCCCAAAGAGGAAAGAAUAGCUAGAACGUGGGGCACGACCGCACCGGGCUUGCCUUAUGCAGAAGAGGCGAUAACCAAUGCUGGAAACUGGCUCAUUGGUGGUGACCUUGAGGUUCUUGAGCCUGUCAAGUACAACGACGGGCUUGACCGUUUCAGGCUUUCGCCAUUCGAACUCCGGAAAGAGCUUGAGAAACGUGGCGCGGAUGCUGUCUUUGCGUUCCAGCUCAGGAACCCUGUUCACAACGGACACGCCCUUCUCAUGACUGACACUCGCCGGAGACUGCUUGAGAUGGGUUACAAGAACCCGAUCCUUUUGCUUCAUCCACUUGGAGGGUUCACCAAGGCGGAUGAUGUUCCUCUAAGCUGGCGAAUGAAACAGCACGAGAAGGUGCUAGAGGACGGUGUUCUUGAUCCGGAGACGACUGUGGUUUCCAUAUUCCCAUCUCCUAUGCUUUACGCUGGUCCAACUGAAGUGCAGUGGCAUGCAAAGGCUAGGAUCAAUGCUGGUGCUAACUUCUACAUUGUGGGUAGAGAUCCAGCCGGAAUGGGUCACCCUGUCGAGAAACGUGAUCUGUAUGAUGCUGAUCACGGGAAGAAAGUACUAAGCAUGGCUCCUGGACUCGAACGGCUCAACAUUCUCCCUUUCAGGGUAUAUUUAAAUCUGCAUACUCAACCUCGGUAUCUCCUUCAAAGAUUUAAGGCUUUUGAGUUCUGAUUUUUCUGGUUUCGAUCUAUUUAGGUUGCUGCGUACGAUAAGACACAAGGCAAGAUGGCCUUCUUUGAUCCAUCGAGGGCUCAAGACUUCUUGUUCAUCUCUGGCACUAAGGUAACUACAACUUCUCAGACUCAUUGAGACAUAAUAGAGUACAGAGUGUUCUGUUUCUGAUUAAAACUUGAAUUUGGUUUGGUUCUAUAGAUGCGAGGACUGGCAAAGAACAAAGAAAGCCCACCAGAUGGAUUUAUGUGCCCCGGAGGCUGGAAAGUGCUUGUUGAUUACUACGAUAGUUUGAGUCUAUCCGGAAAUGCCAGACUCCUGGAAAAGGUUCCGGUUUAAGACAAGAGUAAACCCAUUUCUUUGUUUUGUUUUGUUUUGUUUUGUUUUACUUUGUGUUGUAAAUUAAUAACGUGCUAGUUUCUCAAAGAUCAACAUUAUGAUCGAACUGUCUUAUUCUAAGGUUUGGAAAAAACUUAACAUGAAAAACGGUGUUGAAAUUUUGAAAUAUACAAGAACUGGCACUUUUUUGGACUUACAUUUUUGACCUUUCUGGAUCCAUUUGCGCGGAUAAACACACUCGCAGCCUAAAUUACCAACAUCUAUUUGGUUGUGUACAUACAAUACAUUUGUGUGUUGUAGACGUGCUAUAUGGCAACAGAUGCGUGAUUGCGUAUGUUUAGUACAAAAAUUUGGUUAUAUGUGCUUUUGGGAAUUGCUUACUCAUUGGUUCAAGACAGAAGGUCGAAAAGAAGAAAAAGGUGACUUACCGCCGGAAGCUGAUCAAACUUGUACAAGUAAACAGUGUAUAUAUGGCGAUUAUCAUAUCCAAGGAAUCAGGCCCGGCGCUUAGGGAUGUGCUGACGGUGCAGUUGCACUAGAUCUAAAAAAGGCAACACUUUUUAUUUAGUAUUUAGGGCAUUUUUCAAAACUGUUGGGACCUUCGUUAAAAUUGUUCUUAUGAAACAAAUUACACAUGGCUCACAAAACGAAUGAGCGGAGCCUCGAAGGGGUAGUGGACAUCCCUAAACAUGGGUCUUUAUUAGAAACAAACUAAACAUGGGCUCAGAGCCUUAAAUCAUAUUAAUAUUCUUUUGAGGGGAAAAUAUUUAAAGAAAACCAAAAUUUCUAUUAUAUAUUAAGUAUAUAUGAUUGUUUCAGUAUAUUUUUGGUAUUACAGAUAUUUUUUUAAAGUUUUUCAGGUAUAAUUUUGAGUUUCAAGUAAAAUUUGAGAUUUAUAAAAUUAUAAUUGGGGUAAUCGGAUAAAAUUUUGGAUAUUUUUAUGUCUUCGGGUCAGAUUUUAGAUAAAAUUUCAAAAUAUUUUUUGGUAUUUUUUUUUGUUUUUAGGUAUAUUUGGGACCGGUAAACGGAGACAGACGCGUUAUCAUGCUCACAAGGAAAAAAAAAUAGAAAAAUAGAAAAGAACUCUUUGAGUGGUUUUCUACUUUUCUGAAUCUAACUUCGUCCAUGUCGAUGAUUUUGCAUUCCAUCUUCAUGUAUCACCAAUUCGUUAGAACCAAUAUUUAUUCAUAUAUGCUUCUUUCUUCGAAUUUUUAGAUCCGUAGUGGAUCAGAGAUAAUGCCUUGCCACUUACUCUUUUCUUUCCUCUCUUUGAUGAUCUCAAAUGCGACACUGGCAUGCAAUUCAAAAAGAAAGUUUUAAUUGCAUUUUAGAGGUUGGGUUGCUUGAAAAUGAAAUUGAUCUCCGGAACAAGUCAAAAAUUGCAAGGGAUCUUUGCCGGUCGAUGAGAGAAGUGAUCUUCAAGGACGGUUGAACUUUGAAAUUGAAACGAACUGUAAGCUUUCUCACAUGAAUCAAUUUAUUGGCAACUUGGAGCAAUAACUACUACAUGUAAAAAAUUUAGAGUUUCAUUUUGGUUUUGACCUUACUAUACUAUUAGAUUUUAUAUUUUAUGUUAAGCAUUUUAAAACAAAUAAACACGUCUUUAUCUCCACAACUAAUAUGGCACUUAUCUGAAGAGAGUUUACCAUUUUUUACAUUGUAAAUUAUGGCAUUUUAUGAACAACCACAUCUUAAGAAUAAGUCAUGUUUAGUCAAAGUCAGUGCUUGACUAAUUAGUAAUGGAUUGAAGCAAUAAUUUUCUAUUUACAUUAGUUGAAGAAAACAAACAAGUUUUGCUUCAUGUUUUUUUGUAUAAUUUAGGAACUUGAAAUCGACAGUGGUUUUGUCUUUCAAGACAAAAAGUCAAGAAUCACAAUGUUGGUUCACACACUACAAGGCUUAUAGGUCGAUCGGAAUAUAUUUUCCGAUGCAGAUUAUAGCAACCGCAAGUAAUUUAGAGCAGUAGCAGAGGUACAUUGAAGAGAAGGGGUUCAACUGACCCCUAUUGACCCUUCUAAUAUUUGCUCAAAAAGAUUUUUCAAACUAAUAAUCAUUUUUUCAUUGUCUAUUGUCUAAAUUUUCAAAAUCAUUUAAUUAUUAAUUUAUUUUUAUGAUUAAUUUUCUUUUUAGUAAUCAUUCACUUUUAUUUUAAUUAAUACUGUAGAUAUGAUUUUCCUUGACUUUACAUAAGCUUACGUUUAACAAUGUUAUAUAAUUUUCAAUGAAAUUUGUAAUAUCUGGAUAUAAUAUGAUUAAUUAUUGUAAUAUGUUUAAUAAUUAUUGUAAUUUAUAUUGAGAUAUAAUCAUGGUAUUGCCCCCGGUAAAUAUUGUGGCUGGCUCCACCACUGAUUUAGCGAUUUAGUUUGGAUAUUUUUCGGACUUGACAUGACCCUAAUCAAAGCAAAAUACGUUGAAAAUAAUUUUACUAAAAACAAAGAAAUGUUAAAGUGGAAAACUUACAAGAUAAAUUAAGAAAGGAAUAUGCUAGAAACAUAGUUUAAAUUUUAAGGGAUCUAAAAAAUAUAAAUGCUAGAAAAAGUUACCAUUCUUUUCUUUCAUAUAGUAGAUUUUAUCUCACAUCAAACAGGUAUGUAUCCAAAAACAGUAUCAAAUACAUAAUGUUUGGAAAAUACUAGAUUUUCUCAUAAAGUUAAAUAGAUUUAAAUAUUUAAUACAAGUUAACCAAUUAAAAUACAAUGAUCAAUGAGAACGCAUAAUUUUCCUUAAAGAAAAAGCCGUAUAUCGUUUAUGGUAACGGCUUUCUAAGUGUCAAUAAAAACACCAAUGGGUGAAAAACAGACAAUUCACAACAGAACAACAACAUGGCUUGUCUGAAUGCAAAACUUCUCUUCUCUUUCCUCCUCGUCUUCCUCCCAACCUUCACGGUUUCCACCUUGUUGUUCCAGGCGAGCAUAUACAUCACAUAGUAAACAUACACACUCUUUUAUACACAUCUUGCGAUUUCGAGUUUGGUGUUUUUGAACAGGGUUUCAAGUGGGAAUCAUGGAUGAAAGAAGGAGGAUUCUACAACUCUCUCCACAACUCCAUCAACGACCUUAGCAACUCUGGAAUCACUCAUGUCUGGCUUCCUCCUCCUUCUCAAUCCGUUUCUCCUGAAGGUCCGUCUAUCCCGUUCCUUGACUUUCACCAUCACCAAAUCUUUCUUUCUGACAAACCUUAAAAUCAUUUUCUCAGGGUACUUACCUGGUAAGCUAUACGAUCUAAACAGCUCCAAGUACGGUUCGGAGACGGAACUGAAGUCUUUGAUCGCAGCACUGAAACAGAAAGGGAUCAAAGCUGUGGCUGAUAUUGUGAUCAACCACAGAACGGCUGAGAGGAAAGACGAUCACUGUGGGUACUGUUAUUUCGAAGGCGGGACUUCCGAUGAUCGUUUAGAUUGGGAUCCUUCCUUCAUCUGUCGUGGCGAUACUAACUACGCGGGUACUGGAAACCCUGACACCGGGGAAGAUUAUAAGCCGGCCCCGGACAUCGACCACCUUAACCCCAGGGUUCAGAAAGAGCUGUCGGAAUGGAUGAAUUGGCUCAAGUCUGAGAUCGGAUUCAGUGGUUGGAGAUUCGAUUUUGUUAGAGGCUAUGCAGCUUCCGUCACCAAAUCAUACGUACAGGUCAGCCUUUACAUUUCUCUGUCUCUUCUUCUAAAUAGAGAUUGGUUUAGAGAUUUCGAUACAAAACUAUGGUUAGAGUGUCGGUUAAUUAUUUUACUUAAUUAGUUUUGGUAGGCUUGGCACCAAAAGAACUAAACCGAACCGAAUUAGGUAGGAGAUAUCAAACCGAAUCAAUAAUCAUAAUUAUCUUAAUUAUUAAUCCUUCUGUUUCAUGAAAAAUGUCAUUUAGCUCUUUUUUUUUCAAAAAAUAUCAUUUUUACAUUUCCAAUGUAAAUUUUCACAUUAAAUCAUAUUUUUACCCUUUUUAAAUGAUCAAUAGAUAUUUAGUUAAAUAUUUUUAUUUAUAUAAUUAUAUAAAAAUAAUGGUAGAUCAAUAUAUUUUGUUAGUUUCUUAAUCUGCAUGGAAUAUAUUUAAAUGACACUUAUUAUGAAAAAUAAUAAAUAUUAUUUUAUAUAUGUAUAUACUAUAUACUAAAUAUCUGAGGCGAAACUGAAGUCACUGAACCCAUAACUAAAAAGAUAACUUAAUAUGAUUUUAAAUCUAAAUAUAUCAAUUACGUUUAAAUUUAGAAUAAUUAAAUUUCUAACAUUGCCAUUUAUAAAAUAUGUAUAUCUGAAAAUAUCUAUAACAUAGGAAACACUGAAUUAUUAAAAUUAUUCAGAUUACUAUCCUUAUAUAUUUUAUUCAAAAUAUCUAAAAUAACUGGAAUUACUUUACAUUUUUAUAUGAAGAAUCCGAACUACAUGAUAUAUUACAUAAAUUAUCUAAAUUAUCCGAAAAAGCAAGCCAAACUGAAUCUGUAUUUUUUUUUUUGGAUAUCAGCAUGUUCUUAAUCUAUACUAUUAAAGCAGGAUCCUAUUGUCAUAAUUACCUUAGGGGCAUGUUUCCUUCACUAACAUUACAUGUUUCAUUAAGGGUAAUUAAGUAAUAUUAAUAACAAAUCUAUAUUGGGUCAUAUUUUUGGAUCCAGCCCAAAUCAAAUCUCUCUUGGGCCAUUUGGACCUAUUAAAAAAUCAGAUUCAAUUCUCACUUUUUUUUUCCUUUGGGCCAUUGAGUCCAAGUUCAAAUAAUUUUUUUUCAACUAUUCUUAAUUAUUAUUUUUUUCUUUUCUUAAUAUAAUUUAAGCAUUCAUAAAAAUAAUUGAAUUUUUUUAUUGAAAAGUAUAAAUCUUUAUUAAAAGUAUAUAAUUUUUAAUUAAAAUAUUAACCCCAUAAUAAAAUUAAUUUAUCAGAGUUAUAUCAACUUAAUUCAUUAAAAAAAUAAAGUUUAAUUUUUUUAACAUAAAUAGUCAUUUAAAAUGAAAUACGAUAAAUAAAGAUAAAAUUUUUAAGUCUUUUAUAAAAUAAAACACAAAUAUAUGAAAAUGUGACAUUUACUAAAUAUUUAUCAAUUGAAGAAAAAAACAAAAAUAAACCCGCGCUUUGAAAGCGCGGGUCAAAAUCUAGUUUUAUUAUUAAAAGACAAACCAAAUUGAGAACUAUUCAAACCGAAAUUUCCUUGGUCCUUUAGCGGAUAAUAAACACCCUGGUAGCCAAAAUAGUCGAUCUAAAUCGAACCGAAUAGCCAAAGCCAAACAUAAGUUUUGGUGGUAACAUUUGUUCAAAAAGAAAAUCGAAGAUUUAGACUAAGUUUCUCUUAGCCUAGUAUUUUUAAAAGAUUUCAGAUUAAAUUUUGAAGUUUGUUUUCUAUUAAUAAAUAGAGAUUACUAUAACGUCAAAAAGAGUAUACAAAUUUCAUUAGAAACAAAAGACCUAACCAAAUUACACCACCUUAACCAUUGUCUGAGCAAGUGAUCAGAUUUAAGCUGCAUAAGUUUUGUUGGUAGAUAAAAGUUGAGAGUUGUAUAGUUUUGAAAAAUCGUAUUGUGGGAGUACGUACUAUCAGUGUUUCCACUGCAUUAUCACAAAAUCUUGUUAAUUGCAGAAUACUUCACCCGAUUUUGCGGUUGGUGAGAAAUGGGACGAUAUGAAGUACGGAGGAGAUGGUAAACUGGAGUAUGAUCAGGAGGAGCAUCGCUCGGGUCUUAAACGCUGGAUCGAGGAAGGUGGUGGUGGUGUACUGACAGCUUUUGAUUUCACGACCAAAGGGAUCUUACAGUCUGCAGUAGGAGGUGAGCUUUGGAGGCUAAAAGACUCUCAGGGAAAGCCACCCGGUCUUAUCGGAAUCAUGCCCGGAAACGCAGUGACGUUCGUAGAUAACCACGACACUAUCAGACCAAACUCGUGGGCUUUUCCUUCGGAUAAAGUCUUGCUUGGAUACGUUUAUAUUCUUACUCACCCUGGCACCCCUUGCAUCGUAAGUAGAUUUCAUUAAAACUCCUUAAUUCUUGUCUACUUUUGUAUGAAAGUCUUCUUGCUUGGUUUGUUAGUUUCUGGUUUGGUCAUCGGUUUAGCUUUCGGUUUACUAGUUUCAUAGAAAAUUACAUUACUUCGCUUUCAGUUUGAUACUUUUGUUUGGUUUUGUCUGUUACGGGUUUAGUAUUGGUUCGGUUUUAGAUAAAGGAACAACUUGUUUUUGGUUUUGUUUGGUUACACAAAAUCAAGUUUUGCAGGCUCGGUUUUGGUAAGAUAAUAAACACAUUUGUUUAGUUUCUGCAAGCCAUUUCAUUUCAGAUUCCAAAACGGUUUGGGUAUAUAUUGCAGUUUUUAAUGUAGUUAUCCAGUAUGCAUGACGUGAUGUUUAUUGUCGCAGUUUUAUAGCCAUUACAUCGAAUGGGGUCUAAAAGAUAGUAUCUCGAAGUUGGUGGCGAUCAGGAAUAGAAAUGGUAUUGGUAGUACAAGCUCUGUUAUGAUCAAAGCGGCCGAGGCGGAGCUCUACUUGGCUAUGAUUGAUGAAAAGGUUAUCAUGAAGAUUGGGCCAAAACUGGAUAUAGGAACUCUCGUUCCUCCAAAUUUUGUUUUAGCUUAUUCAGGUCUUGAUUUUGCUGUAUGGGAGAAGAAGUGACACAAUUGUUCGAUUUCUCCAUAAGUAAAAAAGAGAGUAAUCAAUGUAUGUUUUUCCUUAAAAGAAAAAAGGACGGUGGUACUAAGAUAUAUAGUUUAAUGAAAUAAAUGACGAAUAAACUCCCUAAAUAAAAUAACCAGAGUUUCUAAUCUAAUGAUUGGCAGUUUUGCAAUAUACUAAUGUCAUACCGCUCACACCAAAUUGAAUUUUGCGUAUCGCGACAAAUCGAUAUAUUCCCUAAAGCUGCUUCGAUAUCUACAAAGUAAACUAGUGUGGUGAUCCGCUCCUGCGUGGAAUGAAAAAAUUAAAAGAUAUUAUAACUUUUAAUCAACAGAUAUUAAAAAUAGAACCGAUCUUAGGCUAACCUUAACGAAACAUUGAUUCAUUUAGGCCCCAAAAUUUUUGAAAAAAAAUUAUAUAUAGAUACAGCCGGGAUAGCUUUCAAGCUCUUCAAAGGAGAGAUACUCGAGGGUGUCUUCCUGAGGUGUGGUCCGGUUGAGAACGUUUACACCCACUGCCUAAAGAUGCCUGAUUACAAGUUGAGACUAGGGUUAGAUUUGUGGUGAUCGAGGCGAGGUGGAUGGAGGUGGAGAAGGAGUUUCAGGCAUUGGCUAGCCUUGAAGGAGACAAACUUGGACCAAUCUCUGAAGAGUGAUCUGCUUUGUUUCUUCAUGUGAUGUUGUUUUUGGGCAAUAUAUUAUCUUGUUGACACUUUAACCAGUCUGAGCUCAAGACAAAGGAAGAUCAUCUAGAAGCUUGGCUCCAUGAAGUUGACGUGUUAGUCAUGUGAAACUAAACAACUCCACCGCUGUUGAAUGAUUUAAGAUGCAAAAAGUGCUAAUUGCACUACAAGAAAACACGCCGAAUUCCGACGGAGAUUCCGACGGACGACACAGCCGUCGGACACUUUGGACGGAAUUCUGACCGAUUUCCGACGAAAACAAAAAAUCUGAAGUCGUCGGAAUUCCGUCGGCUAAUUCCGACGAAUUUCCGAGAAAACAUGGGUCGUCGGAAUAUUCCGACGACUUUUCGACGAUAUUCCGAUAAACAAUAUAACCGUUGUAGUCGUCGAAAAGUCGUCGGAAUAUUCCGUCAAAUUUCCGACGAUAUGCCGAUGAAAAGAUAUAACCGUUACGGUCGUCGGUAUUCCGUCGGUAUUUUCCGACGAAUUUCCGACGAACCAAGUGACCGUUGCCGACAAAUAAAUAUGACCGUUUUAUAGCCGUUCGAGAUUGGAAAAUACUGACGGAAUUCCGACGGAAUGCUUAAUAUCUGUCGGUAUUCCGUCGGAAAGUCGUCGGAUAUCCGUAAGCAAUUUCCUAUAAAUGCAACCCCUCCUCAUUCAUCUCAUUCACACCUCAUUCUCUCUUCUUUCUCUUUAGUCAUAACAAUUCCGUGAAAAUCAUGUCUUCAGGAGCUUAUUAUCGUUCGUGGAUGGAUAAACCUCAUUUGGAUCCCAACACUAAUUUGCUUACGGAAGAAUACGUUCAAGGAAUUGGAGAAUUCAUGAGGCUUGUUCAACAGCAACCGGAUGCAAAAAGUGGUAUGUUAAGAUGUCCCUGCUCUACUUGCAAUAAUAAUAAGGUUAUAAAAGAAUUUGAUGUUUGGACUCAUUUGUAUAUGAAAGGGUUUUCACGUAAUUAUAAAGUUUGGUACCUUCAUGGGGAAACUGGUUAUGAAUAUGGUAGUACUAGCGAACCUCAGCCUGUUAGUGAACUUCAGCCUGAUAUUAGGUUAGAAGAACCUAGAACGGAUAUAGAUUAUGGUGUAGGUACUGAGCAGAUGGUACAUGAUCAUUAUAGAGGGGAAGAACCAAAUCCCGAAUCUAGGAGAUUUUUUGAUAUGUUAGAUGCAGGAAAACAACCUUUGUAUCAAAAUUGUAGAGAUGGUCAUUCAGUCUUAUCAUCUGCAACUAGAUUAAUGGGUAUUAAGACAGACUAUAAUUUGGCUGAAGAAUGCAUGGAUGCGAUUACUGAUUUUGUCAAAGGUAUUCUACCUGAGGAUAACCUUGCACCGGGUUCAUACUACGAGGUUCAGAAACUUGUAGCCGGUCUUCAACUACCGUACGAAGUGAUAGAUGUAUGUAUUGACAACUGCAUGAUCUACUGGAGAGCGGAUGAGACACGAAAUGUAUGCAAAUUUUGUGGGAAACCUCGUUAUCAGGAGACGAGGGGAAGAGUUCCGAUCCCGUUCAUUUGAAGAAGAUGGUCAAAAAUCAAAGCAGGGUGGAAGGAUCUAUAGUGGCACAGGUGAUCAAUGAAGAAACUGCAAUCUUUGCUGAAAAUUAUUUUCCACCAGAAGUGCAUACAAAACACCGAAGACCUGCUCGGCAUGAUGACAGAGGGGAGAGAGCAACAUAUCAUGUUACUGUCCCAAGCAUGUUCAAGGAAAUAGGACGACUUAGCGGAAAAUUCACGAAGCGCAGACUUACGGACACUGAGCACGCUCAUUUGCAAACAUAUUUGCUCACCAACUGUGAAGAUGUUCUACAAUAUGAGAGGUAAAAAUAUUUUUUCAUUUACAUUGUUAGAUUAAUAUUCAAUAAAUUUAUUUCAUAUUGAUAAUAUUUUUGUAUAUAGUGUAUAUAUGGCGGAGUUGCGUAUGACUCACAGGCAUGCAACAGAAGAUGAGCUUCAACAACUUAGAGAUAACGGAUUUGCUGUGUGGCUUCGUAGUUAUGUGAGUCAUAUAUCAUAUUACCCUAUGCAAAUGAGUAGUUUAAAUUUAAUAUAAACUAAUUAACUUUUCACUCAUAUAUGUUUUUAAUUUGUAGGUGAAUGAUGGUUUGGCCAGAGGUUUUGUGUUCGAUGAUUGGAUACGCGAAUUUGUGCAGGGACCAAACUAUGUGGUCAAAUCAUAUCCAAAAUUUUGUACGCGAGGAUAUGCAUUCACAAGGAAAGGUCAUUCUAAGACAACAUAUGAUGCUGGUGUUUCAUCUUCUUCCGGUGACGAUGUCUACUACGGCAACAUAAAAGAAAUAUUGGAAAUCCAAUUUCCUGGAAUGGUUGGAUUGCGUUGUGUAGUAUUCUAUUGUGAUUGGUAUGACACCACCCCAGAUAGAGGAGUGAAGAUUGAUGCGUUUGGUGUUACAUCAGUUCAUUCGCGGCGGAAACUUCAAUACUAUGAUCCCUUCAUUCUUGGUUCGCAAGCUGAUCAGGUAUGUCAAUCUAUUCAUAAUUUUUUUCCAAUACAAUUAAUUAAUGCUAUAUAUUUUACUAAUAUUUGUAUAAUUGAUAUGUAUAGGUAUGUUACAUCAGUUACCCUCGGGUGACGUACAGAGAUGAUCCAUGGGUCACUGUAACGCAAAUCAACCCAAGAGGACGAGUGGAUGGAACUUCUGAUGAUGAUGAACCAUUGCAACCAGAGUCUACCAGCAACGCCCAGGCAGUUGAAGAUUUGGCAAAUGUUGAACUCGUUGAGGAUUUGACUGAGUUUGGACUUGAUGCUGUUGUACAUUCGGAACCAGAAGCUGAGGUUGGGGAGUUUGAUGAAGAUUCAGAAGAUUCGGAUUAGUUUUUUUUUUUUUUUUUUUUCCAUUUGGUCCGUCGGAAAUCCAUCGCAAAAUACCGACGAGAUAGCGACGAUAAAGAGUUUCAUGAAAGUCUGGAGAUGUCCUCGGUAAUUCGUCGCAAUAUACCGACGACAUCCCGACGAACUAACCGAGUUCGUCGGAAUGUCGUCGGUACAGUGCGACGAAUUACCGAGGACAUGUGUUUUUAAAAAGUCCUCGGUAAUUCGUCGCAACAUACCGACGACAUUACGACGAACUCUGUUAGUUCGUCGGGAUGUCGUCGGUAUAUUGCGACGAAUUACCGAGGACAUGUGUUUUUAAAACAUUUCCAACAUAAAAAUCUAUAAAUUUAUAUGCCAAAACUAUGAAAAUAAUACAUAAUAAGUGUUUAGUAUAGUAUUAGAUCGCAACCGUUCAAAUAUAACAAUUCAUAAAAAUAUUUAUGUAUGCAUAUCACAUGUUUUCAUAACAUCUCAUCUUAACACUCAUAUACUUAUACAAUCACAUUCAUCUAAUCUUACACUACAAAAAAUGUUGUUGUAUAAAUUCGUGUUAUCAAAACAUUUCUACUGUUAAAUCUUUAUGAAAAUACUAUAUAUAUUAUCAAAGAUUUGGAUUUUGCUUUUAGAAACUUGUAACCAACCCUUAAACACUAAGUCGUCAGUAUUCCGUCGGAAUGAGUCGUCAGUAUUCCGUCGGAAUAUACUGACGAACUUAAUUCCGUCGGAAUUGUAAUUUACCCGGGAAAACCAAACCGCGUGAAAUUUUCGCGGACCGCCAAUUGAUAUAUAUUUAAUGAUACCGACGGAAUACUGACGAACCCGUAUCCGUCGGAAUUGUUAAAUAUAAUUACUCAUCUUCUUCCUUCUUCGUUAUUUCCGCCUCCGGCUCUCUCUCAAUUCUCUCCGCGAUUUCUCUCCCUUUCACGGCGAUUCCGGCCGUUCUCGAGCCCCCAUCACCGGCGGCCCCCAUUCCGGCCCCCAAUCAUCUUCCCCAAACCCCAAAUCAUGUAAGAAUCAUCCCAACCUUGUUUUAUCCCAAUUUUUUAGGGUUUUGGAAGUUAGAUCUCGGAUUUUAGGUUGUUUGAUUGAAAAUUUUAGGAUUGAAUGGAUAGUUUAGGAUAUAUAAGUUAGGAUUGUUGUUUGGAUUGUUGUUUAAGUUUUUUUUUGGAAUUAUUUUGUGUUUUUGUUAAAAUUCAAAACGUUUUCCUGUUUUUAAAACGUUUUUUGAUUUUUAAAAACGUUUUUCAAGUUUCCAAUAAUAAACUAUGUAUAAUAAAACGUUUUUAAAAAAUUUUAAAAAUAUUUAACAACAUUUUUCUAUAAUUAUAANNNNNNNNNNNNNNNNNNNNNNNNNNNNNNNNNNNNNNNNNNNNNNNNNNNNNNNNNNNNNNNNNNNNNNNNNNNNNNNNNNNNNNNNNNNNNNNNNNNNNNNNNNNNNNNNNNNNNNNNNNNNNNNNNNNNNNNNNNNNNNNNNNNNNNNNNNNNNNNNNNNNNNNNNNNNNNNNNNNNNNNNNNNNNNNNNNNNNNNNNNNNNNNNNNNNNNNNNNNNNNNNNNNNNNNNNNNNNNNNNNNNNNNNNNNNNNNNNNNNNNNNNNNNNNNNNNNNNNNNNNNNNNNNNNNNNNNNNNNNNNNNNNNNNNNNNNNNNNNNNNNNNNNNNNNNNNNNNNNNNNNNNNNNNNNNNNNNNNNNNNNNNNNNNNNNNNNNNNNNNNNNNNNNNNNNNNNNNNNNNNNNNNNNNNNNNNNNNNNNNNNNNNNNNNNNNNNNNNNNNNNNNNNNNNNNNNNNNNNNNNNNNNNNNNNNNNNNNNNNNNNNNNNNNNNNNNNNNNNNNNNNNNNNNNNNNNNNNNNNNNNNNNNNNNNNNNNNNNNNNNNNNNNNNNNNNNNNNNNNNNNNNNNNNNNNNNNNNNNNNNNNNNNNNNNNNNNNNNNNNNNNNNNNNNNNNNNNNNNNNNNNNNNNNNNNNNNNNNNNNNNNNNNNNNNNNNNNNNNNNNNNNNNNNNNNNNNNNNNNNNNNNNNNNNNNNNNNNNNNNNNNNNNNNNNNNNNNNNNNNNNNNNNNNNNNNNNNNNNNNNNNNNNNNNNNNNNNNNNNNNNNNNNNNNNNNNNNNNNNNNNNNNNNNNNNNNNNNNNNNNNNNNNNNNNNNNNNNNNNNNNNNNNNNNNNNNNNNNNNNNNNNNNNNNNNNNNNNNNNNNNNNNNNNNNNNNNNNNNNNNNNNNNNNNNNNNNNNNNNNNNNNNNNNNNNNNNNNNNNNNNNNNNNNNNNNNNNNNNNNNNNNNNNNNNNNNNNNNNNNNNNNNNNNNNNNNNNNNNNNNNNNNNNNNNNNNNNNNNNNNNNNNNNNNNNNNNNNNNNNNNNNNNNNNNNNNNNNNNNNNNNNNNNNNNNNNNNNNNNNNNNNNNNNNNNNNNNNNNNNNNNNNNNNNNNNNNNNNNNNNNNNNNNNNNNNNNNNNNNNNNNNNNNNNNNNNNNNNNNNNNNNNNNNNNNNNNNNNNNNNNNNNNNNNNNNNNNNNNNNNNNNNNNNNNNNNNNNNNNNNNNNNNNNNNNNNNNNNNNNNNNNNNNNNNNNNNNNNNNNNNNNNNNNNNNNNNNNNNNNNNNNNNNNNNNNNNNNNNNNNNNNNNNNNNNNNNNNNNNNNNNNNNNNNNNNNNNNNNNNNNNNNNNNNNNNNNNNNNNNNNNNNNNNNNNNNNNNNNNNNNNNNNNNNNNNNNNNNNNNNNNNNNNNNNNNNNNNNNNNNNNNNNNNNNNNNNNNNNNNNNNNNNNNNNNNNNNNNNNNNNNNNNNNNNNNNNNNNNNNNNNNNNNNNNNNNNNNNNNNNNNNNNNNNNNNNNNNNNNNNNNNNNNNNNNNNNNNNNNNNNNNNNNNNNNNNNNNNNNNNNNNNNNNNNNNNNNNNNNNNNNNNNNNNNNNNNNNNNNNNNNNNNNNNNNNNNNNNNNNNNNNNNNNNNNNNNNNNNNNNNNNNNNNNNNNNNNNNNNNNNNNNNNNNNNNNNNNNNNNNNNNNNNNNNNNNNNNNNNNNNNNNNNNNNNNNNNNNNNNNNNNNNNNNNNNNNNNNNNNNNNNNNNNNNNNNNNNNNNNNNNNNNNNNNNNNNNNNNNNNNNNNNNNNNNNNNNNNNNNNNNNNNNNNNNNNNNNNNNNNNNNNNNNNNNNNNNNNNNNNNNNNNNNNNNNNNNNNNNNNNNNNNNNNNNNNNNNNNNNNNNNNNNNNNNNNNNNNNNNNNNNNNNNNNNNNNNNNNNNNNNNNNNNNNNNNNNNNNNNNNNNNNNNNNNNNNNNNNNNNNNNNNNNNNNNNNNNNNNNNNNNNNNNNNNNNNNNNNNNNNNNNNNNNNNNNNNNNNNNNNNNNNNNNNNNNNNNNNNNNNNNNNNNNNNNNNNNNNNNNNNNNNNNNNNNNNNNNNNNNNNNNNNNNNNNNNNNNNNNNNNNNNNNNNNNNNNNNNNNNNNNNNNNNNNNNNNNNNNNNNNNNNNNNNNNNNNNNNNNNNNNNNNNNNNNNNNNNNNNNNNNNNNNNNNNNNNNNNNNNNNNNNNNNNNNNNNNNNNNNNNNNNNNNNNNNNNNNNNNNNNNNNNNNNNNNNNNNNNNNNNNNNNNNNNNNNNNNNNNNNNNNNNNNNNNNNNNNNNNNNNNNNNNNNNNNNNNNNNNNNNNNNNNNNNNNNNNNNNNNNNNNNNNNNNNNNNNNNNNNNNNNNNNNNNNNNNNNNNNNNNNNNNNNNNNNNNNNNNNNNNNNNNNNNNNNNNNNNNNNNNNNNNNNNNNNNNNNNNNNNNNNNNNNNNNNNNNNNNNNNNNNNNNNNNNNNNNNNNNNNNNNNNNNNNNNNNNNNNNNNNNNNNNNNNNNNNNNNNNNNNNNNNNNNNNNNNNNNNNNNNNNNNNNNNNNNNNNNNNNNNNNNNNNNNNNNNNNNNNNNNNNNNNNNNNNNNNNNNNNNNNNNNNNNNNNNNNNNNNNNNNNNNNNNNNNNNNNNNNNNNNNNNNNNNNNNNNNNNNNNNNNNNNNNNNNNNNNNNNNNNNNNNNNNNNNNNNNNNNNNNNNNNNNNNNNNNNNNNNNNNNNNNNNNNNNNNNNNNNNNNNNNNNNNNNNNNNNNNNNNNNNNNNNNNNNNNNNNNNNNNNNNNNNNNNNNNNNNNNNNNNNNNNNNNNNNNNNNNNNNNNNNNNNNNNNNNNNNNNNNNNNNNNNNNNNNNNNNNNNNNNNNNNNNNNNNNNNNNNNNNNNNNNNNNNNNNNNNNNNNNNNNNNNNNNNNNNNNNNNNNNNNNNNNNNNNNNNNNNNNNNNNNNNNNNNNNNNNNNNNNNNNNNNNNNNNNNNNNNNNNNNNNNNNNNNNNNNNNNNNNNNNNNNNNNNNNNNNNNNNNNNNNNNNNNNNNNNNNNNNNNNNNNNNNNNNNNNNNNNNNNNNNNNNNNNNNNNNNNNNNNNNNNNNNNNNNNNNNNNNNNNNNNNNNAAUACCGACGGAGUAUGACUCGUCGGUAAAUACCGACGGACUAUGAUUCGUCGGAACAUACCGACGAAUGGUGAGUCGUCGGAAUUUACCGACGAAUCGUAAUCCGUCGGUAUUUACCGACGAGUCAUAUUCCGUCGGUAUUUACCGACGAAUCAGACUCCGUCGGUAUUUACCGAGAACUUAGUUCGUCGGAAUCUUCGGAGGAUCCGUCUCCGUCGGUAUAUAGUUUUUCCGAUGAACUCUAGUCUCGUGUGUCCGCAUCGGAAUAUUGUCGGAAGUUCGUCAGAAUGUUAUUUCUCGGUAUUCGUCAGAAAGUCGUCGGAAAUUCUGACGAAAUUCCGACGAAUUCUUUUUUUCCGACGAAAUGAUACCGACGUCGUCAGAAAUGCGUCGGAAUAGGCCUUUUCCGACGAACUUCCGACGAUUUUGGCCAUCAGAAUCUCUUUGUUUUCUUGUAGUGUUGCAACAUAGUCUUUUGUUCCUUUUCCCUGCUCUUCAGUUUUUCUUUACACCAUAUUGUUGAGGAUUUUGCUUAUUCCCAAUAGACUAUCCCUGUAGUAGACAGUAGACAAUAGACACUAAACGUACAAACCUUCAUGACAACAAGAGGCGAAAUCUCCCAAACACAAAAGUUCUUCAACUUACUAGCAUGUAUAAUAAUAUUAAAGUCAGAUAAAUUUAUCAAUAUACAAUAAAUGUUGUAGAGAACAAAAAAAGGUAAUUCACAUAAAUAGACCAUUUUCAAGUUUUGGUCACAAAAAUAGAACACAAGGAGAAAAAUUACCAAAACGUUUCAUUUAAUAGGUAAAAUGAUACUAAUACCCUAGAUGUAUAAAAAAAAUAAAAAAAAUUUAAUAGUUUUAGAUUAUAUGUUUUCAAAUUCAAACUUUUCUAUAUUUUUUUUUUCUUUGAAUUUUUUUUUAUUUUGUUUUCAAAUUUUUUAUUUUGUAAUUUGAAAAUACUUUUUGAAACUAUUUUAAAAAUUUUUAUUUUCAAUCUUUUAAUAUUUAUUUUCUAUUUUAUAAAAUUUUAAACCUCAAAACUCAAAUCUCACCACUUAACUCUAAACCCUAAGGUUUAGAUUAGUUAACCCUAUGGGUAUAAGUGUAUAUUUACCUCUUUAAUAAAACAUUUUGGUCAUUUUGAUUCUUAGAGUCUAUAUUUGUGAUAUAAAUUUUUUUAGUGAUAUCCUAGGGUAUUUCCAAAAAAAAAAAAUCUGUUAUGUUUUAAGUGAAAUCAAUAAUUAAGUAAGGAUGUAUUCAUCUUGUGGGCAUAUAUAAAAUGUAUUUUCUGUGAACACAAAAGAAUUAAAGAUUACUAAAUUUUGAGUAAAAUAAGAUAAAUUUAGGAGAAAUUGCUGAAAUAUAUUACGAAAAAUAUCACUUUUAAAAAAAAAAUACAUUAAUUUUAGUUAUUAUUGAGUUUAUAAACUUAUAUAAAUAUUCUUAAACAUUAGAAAUAAUUUAGGAGGAUUAGUUUUAUCUUUUUCAUAAUAAAUUAUAUAUAUGAAAUUGUUAUUAUUUAAAAGGAAAUUUAAAAAAUGGUAUCAAAUUCGAAGUGAAAUUAUAAUUUCCCCAAGUUUGAAACAGUUUUAAAUGAAAAGUUUACAUUCCAUAUGGUCUCAUAAUGCGGUGUAGCCGUGUAGGGUCCCAAGUCCUUGCAAACUAACGCCAACUAAUAAGCCAUUUGAUUAAUUUAAUAUUAUCCCAAACACUACAAACUGGUUCCCGGAACCUUCUCCUACCGCCAGAAGCCCCUUAUUGCUGUCAGGUUGGUUUCAAUUUCGUUGAUGUUCUCAGAGAUUUGAUAUAUUGAAAAGUGAAUACAGGAGAUAAUACAUGGGAAACAACAACGCAACCAGCAAUUUAACAGGUAAAACAGACAACGCAUCUCCUUUUUUAGAUUAAUAUGUUUCUGACUGAAUAUUAUUUGUGUAUUUGCAGAAGAGUUCUGCUCAAAGCUAGCAACCAAUGGGAUCUCUACGCUGGAGUCUAUUCCCCUAAAAACCACGCUAGAUAUCAGGUCUGAGGUUCUGUUUGUUUCUUGCCUGAAAAUCAACGAAGUGCAAGAAGCUACUGAAGAAAUAACUGAAAGCAGCAAAGAAGCUAGACUUGAGAUGCGAUCUCCCAGCUUUAGUAAUUACCUAAAAGUCGAAGAAAGAAGAGAUAAAUCAAAGGAGAAAACUCAAUUACUAUCUAAAGACAAGACUGAGACAGACAAGGCAACACUCGAUGUGGAAGAGGAAACUGUGAUGCUAAAGAGAAGUGAGACUGAGAAAAGAAGAGGCUUUGAGCUGUCUCUUGGGCUGUCUAUGAAACCCACUCGAAGAUCUGACGCAGUUGAUAGCUUCAAAGAAACCAAGGGCUCAGGACAUAACUUGGUGAACAAGAAAGCCAACACGCCUGAGACUCUGCUUAUUUCUUCUGUGAGAAGCAGCAAAGCACAAGAAACUACUGAGGUGAUAACUGAAAGCAACAAAGAAGCUCUGAUUCAGAUGCGAUGUCCUAGCUUUGGAAAUGAUCUGAGAACCAAAGAAAGAAGCAAUGAAUCAACGGAGCAAAUUCUGUUACUCUGCCAAGACAAGAUAGAGACAUAUGAGGCAACGAUCAAUGUGGAAAAGAAAACUGUGAUGCUGAAGAGAAGUGAGUCUGAAAAAACAAGAGGCUUUGAGUUGUCUCUAGGGUUGUCAAUGAAAACCGGUGAUACAUCCGAAGCAGAUAAUAGCCUAAACCUCAAGGAAAGCAAAGAGAACUUGCUGGAAAAGAAAGCUGCUAUGAAAGGCAGAGUUAGAAAAAGGAGCAAAUCUUCGCUCUUCGGAAGUUGCCUCUGCUUUGCCGCCACUGCCAUGAAUUGAACAGAUUUGCAAGGAACAGAUCUGGCCAUGUCUUUCGUUUUACUUUAAAAGGAAUUUUUUAAGUUAUCCUUAGUGUUGUAGAGUUACCAAGCUGAAAGUCAUAAGAAACUUGAAGUAUUUAAGAAAGUAGCUAAAAUUGUUUUUGUUAAAUUAUGAUUUCUAUGUUUUAUAAAGAAUAUUAUUUAAAAGUUAUCACGCAUAUUAAUAAUUAUUUUUAUCUUUUAUUCAUAUAAGAAAUAUUUUCCUCUCUAAUUAAUACAUUAAAACAUUGUGGUUAAAACUGAAUUUUAUUUAAAAUAUAAAAUGGUACUCUUUAUAAAAAAAAAAAUCAUAAUAUGAGCUCUUUAUAAAAUGGAGGUAGUUGGCAAACUUCAAAACGGUUGUUUAGAAUUCUGCUUCAAACUUCGCAUUUGAUGACAAAAUGUUUUUGUUUGGAGGUAACUUAGUGUAUGUUUCACUUAACUAUUCAAUCAGAGUAAACCAAAUGCAUGAAACUCAUCACAUGAAGAGUGGAAUUAAUACACUGUAUAAAAAGAGAAAUCAAUUAACCAUAAAGAGAAAAUGUGAAGGUUCAACGUUAUGUGAUUCAAUUUAUGACACUUGCUCUUAACUUGGAGGUUUCUCAGUAACUUUCUGGGCAAUCCAACCAAGCCCAUCAUGCAAGCCUUCUCCAGUGACUGCACAGCUUGCUUGAAUGUGCCAAUCAUGGUUCUUGAUGCUGUGAAGGUUAAGCGCGUCCGUGAUCUCAGCUGGGCUCAUAGCAUCCUUGAGGUCCUGUUUGUUUGCAAAGACGAGUAUGACCGAGUUGUGAAGAUCCUCAUGCCCGAGUAAUCUGGAUAGCUCAUCUUUCAUUAAAGAGAUUCUGGCUCUGUCUGUGCUAUCGAUAACCACGAUUACAGCGUUCGUUCCUCUGUAGUAAGUUGCCCAUGAUGUUCUGAGCCUAUCUUGCCCACCAAGAUCCCAAACCUAACGACAAGAAUAUUGUAAAAAAUGCACAAUGCAUCAAAUUAAGUGUGUGGCAAUAUGAUUAAACUUCGAGAUUUGUGAAGCCUUCCACAAACCAUGGAUAUAAUUUAAAGAAAAACAGAAACAGAGCAUCCAAUUCAAUAUAGAGGAACACGUAGAAACAGUUGAGUUUAUGUCCUUGCAAUGAAAUAGAGUGGUGCCAAUAUGAAUAAAGUUGAAAGCUUUGAGCUUGUGAAGGGCAAGAACAUAUAGAAACAGUUCAAAUCUAAACUAUGUUCUCGCAAUGAAACCAAUAAUGCUCAAGAAUUAGAUUUGGAAGAGAGGUUGAGGGUACCUCGAAGCGGAUGUUCUUGUAAACGAGCUCUUCGACAUUGCUUCCAACGGUAGGAUGAGUGGUGACAACUUCACCCAAGUGAAGCUUAUAAAGCGUCGUCGUUUUACCGGCGUUAUCCAAACCAACGACAACGAUCUUGUACUCUUUCGCAGGGAACAUCAUGAACCAAAACCUCGAUGCGAAUGCUCCCAUCUCUCUUCUGACUUUUCCACAUAACAACAACAUAAUCAUAGUUUUUAAUAUUUCUCUAAAGAUACAGUUUUGAUUUGAGUUUUCACGAGAACAAUCUGUUAAUCCCAGAUCGGAUUUAAUUUGGGUAUUAACGAUCCAAAGAUAUCUCUAAUAACGAUCGAGAAUCAAAACCUGGAUUUAGCAAGUGGCGGAGGCAACGGCGAUCGAUCUGGGUGCUUGGUUUGAUCUGAAUCGGGAAAAGAUGUAAAUUUUAGUUUUGGGAGGUUGCUUGCUUAUCGAUCUGGGUGGGUGGUGGUAUCGUGGGAUAGUAGGAAAAGUAUACGAGAAUUAAAGCACAAAGUAUAAAAAAGAAUAAUAACAAAAUAAAAAGGAAGGAUAUCUCCGGAAUAAAAGCUACAUGAUGUUUUUUUUUUUGGUAGGCAGUAGGACCCGAAGACCCGAACCGAAAAAACGGGCUCGGGUAAAUUCGGUUCUUCAGAAAUACCCGUUUGGGUUUUGUAUUUCACUAUGUUUGGGUUACGGUUCGCUUCGGUGAAUAACCGAUACUCAUUUGAGUAUCCGAUUGAACCGAAGCAGUAAGUAAAACAUCACGCCCGACCGUAAAGCAUUAAGCUUUAAUUCUUUGAUUCUUUCAAUCCACCUCUUCCUCUUCAUGGAGACGGCGACACCUCUCGAGAACGUCGAUCGUCUCUGAGAGAAUCGAAACCGAAUCACAUAAACUCUACAUCUGAUUCUCUAUAAAUGGAGAGUCUUGAUCGAUGCAGCUCUUUCACAAUUCACAGCGAAACAAGAACUCAGUCUAAGGUUUACAAUCAGAAACCCUUAAUUCUUAUUUCUAUUUUUCGAUUGAUUCUUAAUACGUUCGUAUUUGAUCUCUAGUUUGAUCGAUCUUUCAUUAUUGUUCUUCAAUCACGGUUCAUUGUUGUUGACUGAUUCUCUUGUUUUUAUUUUGUAGAUGGAUUCAUCAACAACUCCGAAUGGAAAAGACAAUGGCAAUUAAAGAGAGCAUGAGAUAGAUGGAACACAACAAGAGUUUUCAACUCCUGAUAGUAGAGGAAAAAGAAAAGAAGUCCCCGGCUUAAGCAGAGCUACGUCUCAACCAGAGAAGGCAACUAAGACGAUUAGCGUACGGUCAAGUGUUUGGGAACACUACACAAGGACGACAGAGAAUCAAGACAAAUGCGUCUAUCACUAUUGCAAGACGACGUUCGCUUGUCCAACCAAAUCAGGGACGUCUAACCUGCAGAAACAUCUUACCACCUGCAAACAUUACAAAGCUUGGGAAGAGGGAAUGGUUCGUACUCAGCCUGCGAUCAAUGAAGAUGGUUAUCUGAAGGACGCCAAGGUUUCAGAAGCUGUGGUAUGGGAAGCUACAAACGAGAUGCUUGUCAUUGGUGAGCUGCCACUUUCCUUUGUUGAAAGCUUAGCAUGGAAGUGGUUAUGCAACAAAGUGAAUCUGCCCAAGCCACAGUCGAGGAGGACUGCAACAAGACACAUUGUUGAGAUGUAUGUGAAGAAGAAAGCUGCAUUGAAGGAAUGGUUCAAAGUUAACAAACAGAGAGUGUCUCUUACAACUGAUAUAUGGGUCGCUCAAGCUACAGGUAAUGGUGCUAGUUUUCCCUAGCUUAGUAUUUGUUUAUGUCUGAUUUUAUAUAUAAGAUUCAAGACUAACUUGUGUUUGUUUGGUUUCGUAUGGGUGCUAGUUAUAUGGUGAUCACAGCUCAUUUCAUUAAUGCAUCUUGGAAACUGAAGAAGCUGAUCCUCGGCUUUAAGUACAUCACUGAUCACAAAGGUCAGACCAUUUCAACAUUUCUACUUGAGUGUUUAGCUGAUUGGGGUAUAGAAAAGAUUUCUGCAUCCAUUUCUCUUGCCCUCCGUCUAACGCCUAAUCGGGCGCCUAGGCGGUUAGGCGUCCGCGUUUUUGAACAGGGCUUAUAACUAAUCAAUUAUCACUUAUAACUUUUAUAUAAUAUUUUCUUGACAAUGCUUUUCUUUAUAACUUGUUUCAGUGUUUGAUUCUCAAGCAACACAAGAAGAAUGAGUCAAGGAGGAGCUUUGGAGAAAUGGAUGAUGCGCUUUGAGUUGCGGAUGUGGUUGGUUCGUUUCUUUGCAAUAUUUUGAUGUUCUCAGUUUGUUUUUUAGUUUGGUCUCUUGUUGUUUGUUGUUGGUUCUUUGUUGUUUUGAAAACUUGCAUUGCGGUUAAGAAAAGGAUUGGUGUAUGUUUUGUUCCUUUUUCAAAUAUAGAAUAAAAUUUUCAGUUUAAUUAUACCUCUACCUAUGUGUUUCUGCCAUUAUUAUUGUUAUUUCCAAACCCUUUGACUCCUUCAGUCUCGAUUUAUACAAUUCAAACUGCAAUUUUCAAAGUUUGAAACCAAUGAAGUCUUUAUAUUCCAAACUCUCUGUGGUAAUCUUUCUCUAUUCACAAGAGUCAAGAGCCAACAAGAGUAGAAAAUGAUGCGCAGAUCAGCUAUUUGGGAGCACUACACAAGAACAGAAGACAACCAAAACAAAUGUAUAUGUCACUAUUGCAACAACACUUUUGUUUGUGUGCCUAUUUUUGGCACAUCUAACCUCCAUAAACAUCUUCAAAGCUGCAAACAGUUCAAAUUAAGUGUCUAUGUGAUGAGUAUGAAAUGGUGACGUGCUUGAUAUUCAUGUUUUCGUUUAUAACUUACUUGUUUAUAACUUUAUUUCAUAUCAUGAUAUCCAACCAGGACAAGAAGAAUGAACUGAGGUGAUUUAAACUAUGAAAGCAAUGGAGAAAUGGGAUUUUUGUUAAGUAUUAUGGUCAAAUAUUUGUUUUAAGUAUUUUUUUGUUUGGUUAUUUCGGUUACAAAUUGGAACCGAAUGGUUACUUCGGGUAAAUGUAACCACAAUAAUUUCAAGUACAAUGAGUAUUUGGUUACUUUACGGUUCUUCAAUCUCGGAACCGAACCCACCCGAACCCGGUUGGACCCGACUCAAACCCGACCCGUAAUUUAUAUAUACCCAAAUGAGUAUUUGUAUUGGAAACCCAAAAGAACCGAAAUCUGAAAUACCCGACCCGAACCCGAUUGGGUACCCGAACGCCCAGGCCUAGUAGGCAGCUACAAGAUGUUUAAGAACAUCUCCAAUUAGACAUUUCAUUAAAAUCCUCAAAACAUUAGACAAUAAAAAUAUUAUUUUGGUAUUUCACCAAUCAUGAGAAACUUAUACAAAAUUAUUUCAGUUAAGACAUCAUUUUAUUCAAAAUUAAAGCUAUUCAUAUUAGUAAUAUGCACAUUUAUGACCGAAUGAGCUUUAAACACGAUUCUCCAAAUAUUCUACCGAUCAAAAAAUUGUGUAAUAAAAAUAAAAUGAAAAAUUUCAUGUUUACAUUUUCGCUUACACAAAAUAUUUUUAAAAAUCUAUUAAUUAGAAUAUGAGUUUUAAUUACUUUACAAAUUCAACCUCUUAUAUUUUUAGGUAUUUUAAGAUAUGAUUUAAAUUCUUACAUAGAUAAUUGUUCUUUAAAAAAAAGAAAUAAUUUUAAAUUAAAAAUAUUAUAGGGUGAUUAAAUUUUUGAUAUUACACAAUUUAACUUAUCAUAAAUAUAUUAAGGACAGACUAAAAACUAUAAUAAGAAUUAUUAUUUUAUAAUAUAUAUUUUCUUCUUAUGAUAAUUAUUUUUAUUAUUAAUAUUUUUAUAUUAGAAUUGAUUAAACUGCAAUGUAUAAAUAUUUUAAAUAUUUGUUUUAUAUAUCAAUUAUGCCAUUCCGCAAAUAUCUCAGGUCAUAUAAAAAAAUCAUUCUGCAAAUUUUCAUUUUGUAGAGUUUAAAUUGUUCUGUAUAUAUGAGUUGUAAUUGAAAAAAGUAUUAUUUAGAUUUUAGAUCAUUUUUGUUGAAGAAUAUAUAUAUAUAUAUAUAUAUAUAUAUGUUUUAAUCACAGUAAAACAUAAUUCAAGGGUAAUCAAAGUCUUGACCGCCACCAAUUGACCUGCAAUCUGAGGUUCUCAAUUUUGUUGAUGGCGUUGUGAUGGUGUUUGUUAAGAGUGGUUUGGGUUGGUCGGACCGUAUCGGUUAUGUCAUAUCUCGUUGGAGAUUGAGGUUGUUGAGAUAAGGACAAUGUAUUAUAGAUAAGUCUUUGGUAGUUGUAGAUGUAGCCAGAUCUUCCCAAGAAGAUAUUGUAGAGAUGUAUAAGUACUUGACGUAUGUGAAUACAAUACACAACAGUUUCCGUAACACAUUCUCUCUGAGUUUACAUGGUAUCAGAGCUUGUGUGAAAGAUCAAAUAAAAUCAUAAAAAGAGAGAUUGUGAGAGAUGACGAAGGGAGAGAUCACGACUGCAGGUAGCAGCAACAACGAAAUCAGUAUGGGAUCUCCUUACUUUCUGUCGCACUCCGACAAUCCAGGAGCAUCAAUCACUGCAGUCACGUUGACUGGAGAGAACUAUGCUGAGUGGGCAUCGGAGAUGGAGAACGCGCUUCGUGCGAAGCGCAAGAUAGGUUUCAUCAACGGCACCUUGUUGAUGCCUGAUGAGAAUGAGAAACCAGCAGAGGCAGAGUUGUGGAAGACUGUCAACUCCAUGAUUGUGGGGUGGAUAAGAACCUCAAUCUCAGCCACUGUGCGUUCGACUGUGACGUUCACACCGGAUGCGUUCAAGAUGUGGAGCGACCUGAAGAGAAGGUUCUCGAUUGGAAACGCUGUGCGUGUUCAUCAACUUAAAGCAGAGUUGGCGGCUUGCAAGCAAGACGGGUCGGCUGUUUUGGAUUACUUUGGCCGGCUUUCGUCAAAAUGGAAGGAGCUGUUGAGCUAUAAACCUCUUCCGACGUGCACUUGUGGAGUGUCUGAGAAGAUUAACAAGGACUAUGAAGAGGAGAAAGUCCAUGUGUUUCUCAUGGGACUCGAUGAUGCGAGGUUCGGUAAUGUCUGCACCAAUAUCAUUGGGAUGGACCCAUUACCAGACCUGAACUCAGUCUACCAGAGAGUUGUACGAGAAGAACGAAGACUUCUUACGUCUCGCGUGGAGACUAAACAGGACGCUGUUGGUUUCUUGACCAGAUCUGAAGUGACGCAGGGAGAUGGUGCCACCAUAGCCGGGUCAGCAGCUGCUGUUACAAGGAGCCAUGGAGGAGUGAUCUGUUCUCACUGUUGAAGAACAGGACACGAAAAGAAAGAAUGUUGGCAAAUCAUUGGUUUUCCUGAUUGGUGGACCGAAAGGAACCAAGGAGGAGAUCGGACUGGACGUGGAAGAGGAGGCAGCAGAGGUCGUGGACGUGGGCAAGCGCGCGCAAACGCGAUGCAGGCACAAGUCUCAGGAGGGACAAACGUUCCAGCUCUGACAGCAGAUCAGUGGGCAUCGCUCACGGCACUACUGGAACAACAAAAGCCAACUCCAAUUCCAGAGAAGCUCAACGGUAAGAAACAAACCGGAGAGGUUAUACUGGACACUGGAGCAUCACACCACAUGACUGGCGAUGCUAGACUACUCAGCGACAUGCAUGAUGUGGUGGGAUGCCCAGUGCGGUUCGCUGAUGGAAGUCAAGUGCAAGCCACACGAAGUGGUGUACUGCGACUUUCGGAGAAGAUAACACUGCCUCAUGUCUUAUUAGUCCCUGACUUGAACUGCACAUUACUGUCUGUGGCAAAGUUGCUGAAACAGACAGGUUGUCUUGCUAUGUUUUCUGAUACACUGUGUGUUUUGCAGGACCGUUUUACGAGGACCCUGAUUGGAGCAGGUGAAGAACGGGACGGUGUGUAUGUUUAUCGGGAUGUUACAGUCAGGCGAGGUCUCCGAGUUAAGGGAGCAGAGGACAAGGCUUUGUGGCAUCGCAGGCUGGGGCAUCCGUCUUUUGGUGUUUGAGUCAUUUACCUUUUGUUUCUGGUGUUUCGAAUCACUCCGACAAGUUUGGAGGAUGUGAUAUUUGUUUUAAAUCAAAGCAAACUCGUGGUGUUUUUUCAGAAAGUUAUAAUAAAGCUUCAGUUCCUUUUGAAUUAAUACAUGUUGACUUAUGGGGACCGUACAGAGAACCAGCAUCAUGCGGGGCUAUCUACUUUCUAACGAUAGUCGAUGAUUGUUCACGAGCUGUCUGGAUACAUCUACUGUUAGAGAAAUCCGAGGUAAAGACGGUGCUACCCAAUUUUUGUUCUUUUGCUCAGCGACAGUUCGGACGACAAGUCAAAACAGUUCGCAGUGACAAUGGGACAGAGUUCUUGUGUCUGUCGAAGUACUUCGCAGAAAGCGGCAUUGUGCAUCACACUUCCUGCGUGGCAACUCCACAACAAAAUGGUAGAGUGGAAAGGAAGCACCGGCAUAUCCUCAACGUAUCAAGAUCAAUCAUGUUUCAGGCAAAUCUCCCUAUCAAAUUCUGGGGCGAAAGUGUGCUAACUGCAGCUCAUCUUAUCAAUCAAACUCCCUCCAGUCUCUUGAAUGGGAAAUCUCCGUAUGAGUGUCUGUAUGGAAAGUCUCCAUCAUACGACAGAAUCAAAACGUUCGGCUGUCUUUGUUACGCACACAAAUCAUCUCGCAACAAAGACAAGUUCAAAGCAAGGAGCAGAAAAUGCAUUUUCGUCGGGUAUCCUUUCGGCAAGAAAGGAUGGAGGUUAUAUGAUCUGGAAAAUGAAGAAUUCUUUGUGUCUCGAGAUGUGGAGUUCACUGAGUCGUCGUUCCCAUUUCAUGACGAUCAAACCGGCUCUCCUGCGGAGCUCUCAUCUCUGCCUAAGAUAGUUGAGGUUCAUGACUCUAGCGAUCCAGUUCCCGAGUCCAGGGGGAGCAACUCAGAAACGACGGAAGAAGGGUCUCAGGAAGAUACGGGAGAUGUAACAGAGACAGUGGAGUCCACUGGGUCAGCAACAGAGCUCGGAGUGCCGGAAACAGAACCCACUUCGGAGCCUACGGUUACAGAAACAGAGCCACCUGUGGUGGCAGAAGCACAAGAGGACCUUGGUAGAGGUCAUCGUGUUCCAGUGCCGUCAGUCAAGCUACGAGAUUACGUAACAUACAACUCGCAAUGUAGUCCUGAUAAACAAAACACACCCCCAGUUCAUCCCGCUUCGUAUCGGCACUCGGAAACGAGUCCAGGUAAAACCGCUUCCUCAUAUCCCAUUACAGCUUAUGUCACUGAUGCGGUGUUCUCAGAGAGACACCAAGCUUUUCUCGCAGCAAUCUCCGCAGGUGUGGAGCCGCGAAACUGGAGAGAAGCAAUGCUCGAUCCUAUAUGGAACGGAGCUAUGUCGACGGAGGUAGUUGCAUUAGAAGAACAGAGAACUUGGGAUGUUACAGAGUUGCCUAAAGGAAAGAAAGCAUUGAUAUGUCAGUGGGUUUUCAAGUACAAGUACAACGCGGACGGGACAGUGGAGAGACCCAAGGCGCGACUUGUUGUGUGCGGCAACAGACAAGUGGAAGGACGAGACUAUGGGGAAACAUUUGCGCCUGUGGCGAAGAUAACGACAGUUCGCACGUUGUUGGAAGUAGCAGUUGCGAAGAACUGGGAGGUGCAUCAGAUGGACGUGCACAAUGCAUUUCUGCAUGGAGACUUGGAGGAAGAAGUGUAUAUGAAGAUGCCUCCAGGCUUCUAUGGCGACAGUCCCACGAAGGUGUGUAAACUGAGAAAAUCCUUGUAUGGUUUGAAGCAGGCUCCGCGCUGUUGGUUCGCUAAGCUCACAACUGCGCUUAAGAAGUUCGGUUUCAAACAAUCGUACUCCGACUACUCCCUGUUCACGUACAUCAAAGGCGGACGAAGUCUGCGAGUUCUCAUCUACGUAGAUGAUCUGAUAAUCGCUGGUGAUGACUUGAACAUGAUGACGAAAUUCAAAGCUUACUUGAACGAGUGGUUCAAGAUGAAGGACUUGGGCAAAGCAAAGUAUUUUCUUGGUAUCGAGAUAGCAAGAGGACCGAUGGGAAUGUUUCUCUCACAGAGGAAGUAUGCUCUAGACAUAGUGGCAGAAGCGGGCUUGUUGGGUUGUAAGCCAGUGGCGACGCCUAUGGAGCAGAAUCACAGACUGUUGGCGGACAAGGGACCAUUCUACCGAGAUCCAGUGAGGUUUAGAAGAGUUGUUGGUCGGCUGGUGUAUCUUGCGAUUACUAGACCAGAACUGAGCUAUGCGAUCCAUAUCUUGUCACAAGUAAUGCAUAAGCCAAGGGAGGCUCAUUGGGAUGCGGUGGUGCGUGUGCUCAAGUACCUGAAGGGGUGUCCAGGACAAGGGAUUAUGUUGAAAGCAGUCAGCGACCUUCGAAUAAGAGCCUUAUGCGAUUCGGAUUGGGCUUCAUGUCCAUUGUCGAGAAGAUCGCUGUCUGCGUUCGUGGUGCUGUUGGGAGACUCACCCAUUUCUUGGAAGACCAAGAAGCAGGACACCGUGUCUCAUUCUUCCGCAGAAGCAGAGUAUAGGGCGAUGGCGGCGACACUGCGAGAGCUGAAAUGGUUGAAGCGUCUGCUGGGAGAUUUUAGAGUGAAACACAGUGAGCCUAUGCAGAUGUUCUGCGAUAGUAAAUCGGCCAUUUACAAAGCUACGAACCCUGUGUUUCAUGAAAGAACGAAACACAUCGAGUCAGACUGUCAUAGUGUGCGUGAUGCAGUUCAGGAUCGGCUGAUCGCGUUUCGUCAUGUACGGACAACAGAGCAACUAGCCGACAUAAUGACAAAGGCUUUGGGGAGCUCAUCGUUUCACUAUCUACUAAACAAGUUGGGCGUUCGAAACUUACACGCGCCAACUUGAGGGGGAGUGUUAAGAGUGGUUUGGGUUGGUCGGACCGUAUCGGUUAUGUCAUAUCUCGUUGGAGAUUGAGGUUGUUGAAAUAAGGACAAUGUAUUAUAGAUANNNNNNNNNNNNNNNNNNNNNNNNNNNNNNNNNNNNNNNNNNNNNNNNNNNNNNNNNNNNNNNNNNNNNNNNNNNNNNNNNNNNNNNNNNNNNNNNNNNNGAUGUUUCAGGGUUUAGGGUUCGUAUUUAAAAGAAAUAUAGGGUUUAGGAUUGAUGGUUUAGAGUUUACAGUUCGUAUUUGAAAAAAAUAAAUAGGGUUUAUGAUUGAUGGUUUAGGGUUUAGAGUUGAGUUUUAGGGUUUAGGGUUUGAAUUUCGAAAUAGGGUUUUAUGGUUUAGGGUUUAAAAUUAUUAUUUUUUUUUUAGAUUUUUUAUUUAUUUAAAUAUUUAUUUAUUAUUUAUAUAAAGAACAAGGGCACAAGAGUCUUUUGUCACUUAAUGAAUAAGGUGUUUUUGAAAAUGUCCCUUUAGUGAGGGUAAAGAUGAAAAGUGGUAUCAUGAAAGUGGUAAACAUAAAAUUUCCCCUUAAUUAAAGUUAGAAUUAUAAAAUUAUGUUUUAAAGUAUGUCAAAACAUACAAAUAGCUUAUAAAUCAAAAUAAAAUAAAUAAUUAAUAUCAUAAUACUUAAUAUGAUCAAAUAAAUAUAAAGGUAAACUGAAAUUUCGUAUUUUUUUUAUUUAUAUUGGUCUCAGCUAUAAAAUAUUAUAAAUUUAUAAUAUGUUAUAUGAGUUUCUUAGAAAAAUAAUGGUUAAUUGUGAUCUCACACGAGUUCUAUCAAUGAAAUAUAUUUAAAACAGAAUGUUAUUAAUAUAUAUGAUAACAUAAAAAAAAAUCAAAGAGGCUAAAAAUUAAAAUAAAUUAGUUGAAAAUUCAAAUAAUAUUUACAAAUAAUAUUGACAUUAGAAUAUAGUCUCAGGCUCUCGACAACAGAAAAUAAAGAUAUGAAAAAUAUGCAUUAUACAUUCGUCAAUUGAAAAAUAUGUUAUCUAAGUUUAUGAGAUAUGAUGUGAACUAAUAAAACAUCGUAAUCACGCCGUUAAUUAAUACAUUUUUCGGGUAACAGAGAAGAGAAAGUCAAACCCUUUCCGGGUGGGUUUCUCAAGACAAAUGCUGGGCGGAGAAAGGUGAAUCUCCCACUGAUAAACCAGCAAUCUUAUUAUCAGCUGAUUGAUAGGGUUUAAGCGAAACACCAGAGGAAACUCCAAGGGGAAGAUAAGAAACAGUGAGGUGACGAUAAAUUACACUGACGAAAAAAUUUCAAACAAACAACUUUCCAUCUUGUUGACCGAAAAAAUUAUAAUAUAUAACCAUGUGGCUGAGUUAAGCGGAAUGCUAAAAAAUCAAAAAAAGAAAGAAGCUUAAAGCUUGUUUGUUUCAAAAGGUAAAAAGAGCCAGCCAAUGUCAUCAUCUCACUUUUACUGCCUCUACUUCAUAGAUAAGCCACGAAUUCUUAGGCACAUCUUCCUUGUUCAAUCCUUCCUCUGUGUAUCUGUUUAUAUCACAUCAAGAAGCAAGAGAAACAGAAACAUAUUAUUAUGCUGAAAAUGAAUCAUCAAUAAUCAACUGACAUACCCAAGAGAUGGUGGAAUUAUGAGUCUUCUCUUAUCACCAGCUCGCAUCCCUGACAGAAUGAAUCAUCAAUAAUUAACAUUUUUAUGAAUUUUCAGUUGAAAUAACCUUACUGGUUAAAAACAUGAUACAAUACCUUCAACACCUUACUGAGACCUUUUAUGACCUCUUCUCCACCUGCAAACAAACAUUAUACUUAUUGUUACAAAAAAAAAAAAAAAAGUAAAACAGAGCUUAUUGUUUAUUGCGUUGUGUGUUUGGGAUGGGAGAAACAACAUUGUGUUAGAAAUAUGAGAGAAGUGUUGUUGUGAAAGUUGUGUAUUUCUCCUCUCUCUCUCUCUCUCUCUCUCUCUCUCUCUCUCUCUCUCUCUCUCUCUCUCUCUCUAUGUUCUGCUAAAUGCAUAUUUUUAAGUUAUCCACUAAACUAUCAUGGUUACAGGUGUUUUGAUCUCACAACAAAAAGAUCAUCAUGUCACGCCAUGUUUAGUUUGACUAAAGCUCAUUCCCGUAUCAGUCUUCUCGGUCUCACAAUGAAACUGAUUACGGUUUUUUAAACACAUCUCGUUCUCUCAUUUUCUGAAAAAAAUUUCAAAGUACAUCUCCAUCCUUCCCAGCUCCUUGAAAUGCGCCAACUCAAUCUGACAUUACAGACACAGAACCUCCUAGGCACACUAUGACCCACGGUCAAAACGUGGGAUUUCACAAAAUGAACCAAUCUUAUCUCUUCUCACUCAAACACAAUCUCAUCUACCUAAAAAUCACCUUCAAGCUCUAGAAAAUCCCUUUUGGAAUGAUGCAAUGUAUGAUGAGUACGGUGCCAUUGUUAAAGCGGUCCAAUUGAUCUAGUACCUCACCGUCAUAAUGUUAACAUUGUAACUCUUUAUGGUUGUACAAGCACAAGUAUGAUGCUGAUGGUAACUUCAAGAAACAUAAAGCGAGAUUGGUCGCUAAUGGUACGUCACAAGAGCAUGUUGUAGACUUCUCUAAGACCUUCAGCCAUGUUGUUAAAUCAGGCACUAUAAGGACAAUACUUCAUGUCGCUCUCGCUCAUCAAUGGUUUAUCAAUCAGUUAGAUGUGCAGAAUGGGUUUUCGAUGGAACCUUGGAUGAGGAUGUCUACAUGUUCCAACUACCUAGAUUUGUCCAUAAGAAAAAACCUAUCAUCUCUGCAAUUUAAAACGCUCCCUCUAUGGCUUAAAAGGUCAUCUCGUGCUUGGAAUGCAACAAUUUUUAAUUUUAUAACUAUUCAUAGGCUUACGCAGUGUAAAAGCUGCAAGCCUAUUUGGUUACAUGAAAGAGGUUCAUCGUGCUUAUAUCAAGAUGUAUGUCAAUGAUAUUAUAAUCAUUACAUCCAACAAGUUCUUAAGGAUGACAUCAUCACAACUUUAAAAAGAAAGAAAUCUACAUGACUGCUGCAUGUCAAAUCGUCUCUUUCUUUGGCAUGUCUGCAAAUUUAAUGAUUGCGGUCUCUUCCUCAGUUAGAUUUGCGAUGUCAAAGACAUUUUUGAACGAUCAUGAAUAAAGGACUGUAAGCCAUGUACAACCCCCUCCCCUAGUUGACUUAGAAUAUAAAUUUGCAGGAAAAGAGGAAAAACAUAUUGAUAACCUAGCAGCGUGUUGCAGUUCCGUAGGUGCUUUGUAAUACCUAACAUUCACUAGGUCAGACAUAUCUUAUGUAGUACAAUAAAUGUGUUUGUUUAUGCAUGACCAUCAUGAGCCACACCUUCAAUCUUUGAAGAGAAUAAUCAGUUACAAGGAAGCAAGUCACAUGGUCUGCAACUCUUACAUAAUCAAAAGAUGAUAAUGAUUGCAUAUUAAGAUGAUGGUUGUACAUUGACGAGAAGAUCAACAUCCGGCUACUGCAUCUACUUAGGAGACAAUCUAGUUUUUUGGUUAGUGAAAAGGUAACCAAGAGUUUCUCGCUCAACCGAUGAACCUGAGUAUAAAGGUUUCGAUAUUUGUUAUAUGCUGGCUUUGGAACUUACUACCAGAGAUGUACGGGAAAAGUUCCAAUUUCGACCCCCAACAAUUUAGGUCGUGCCAAAUACGACCCGAACAAUUGAUCAGUACCAAAUACGACCUCAACUCAAUCAUAAUUCGGAAAAAAAAACUACUCAAACUUCUUAAAACGUGCUUAAAUCUACAUUGACUCUAACAAAAGUUAGUCAAUCGUUUACAAAUAAAACGACGUUGUUUUGAUAUACGAGAAAAAGUGCCAAUUUUGACCCCAACACUUUCUCAGUCGUGCCAAAUAGGACCCGAAAAAUGGUCAAUGCCAAAACUGACCUCAACUUAAUUAAAAUUUAAGAAAAACUACAUGAACUUCUUAAAACAUGCAUAAAUCUACAUUGAUUCUAAAAAAAGUUAGUCAACCGUUAACAAGAAAAGACGACGUCGUUUUGACAUAUAUUAUAUAUAUUUUAAAAGAAAAAUAUGUUCAUUCCAGAACUCAACCGUGUUGUGAUACCUUUUUAAAGCGGCACACUAACAACUAGACAAAAGGGGAAAUUACAUGUUUACCACUUUCAUGCUACCACUUUUCAUUUUUACCACAACUAAAGGUACAUUUUCAAAAAUACCUUCUUCAUUAAGUGGCAAAAACUCUUGUGCCAAUGAUUUUUAUAUAUAAUAAAUAAAUAUUUAAAUAAAUAAAUAUUUAAAUAAAUAAAAAUCUAAAAAAAUAAAAAAUAUUUUUUUUAAUUUCUUUAAUUAUACUAUUUCGAAAUUCAAACCCUAAACCCUAAAACUCAACUCUAAACCCUAAACCAUCAAUCCUAAACUUUUUUUUUAAUACGAACCCUAAACCCUAAACCAUCAAUCUUAAACCCUAUUAUUUUUAAGUAUGAACCCUAAACCCUGAAACAUCAACUCUAAACCCUAAACUCCGAAACAUCAACUCUAAACCCUAAACCCUAAACCUUCAACUCUAAACCCUAAAACAUCAGCUCUAAACCCUAAAUCCUAAACUUCAACUCUAAACCCAAAAACCAUCAACACUAAACCCUAAACUAUCAACAGUAAACCUAAACCCUAAAAAGUAAACUCCAAACCCUAAACCCUAAAAAAUUAACCUUAAACCCUAAAACAUCAACUCUAAACCCUAAAUCCUAAACUUUCAACUCUAAACCCUAAACUCUAAAACCCUAGAGUUGAUGUUUUAGGGUUUAGAUUUGAAGGUUUAGGGUUUUAAGGUUUAGGGUUCGAAUUUCAGAAAAAUAUAAUGUUUAGGGGUUAGGAUUUACAUUUAAGGUUUUGAGUUGAUGUUUUAGGGUUUAGAUUUGAAGGUUUAGAGUUUAGGGUUUACAGUUGAUGUUUCGGAGUUUAGUGUUUAGAGUUGAUGUUUCAUAGUUUAGGGUUUAGAGUUGAUGAUUUAGGGUUUAAAGUUGAUGUUUUAAGUUUAGAUUUAGGGUUUUUAGGGUUUAGAUUUGAAGGUUUAGGGUUUAGGGUUGAUGUUUCGGGGUUUAGAGUUGAUGUUUCAUGGUUUAGGGUUUAGAGUUAAUGAUUUAGGGUUUAGAGUUAAUAUUUUACGUUUAGAUUACCAUAUGUUUUUUUUUUUAAGUUAAUCAAAAGGUUAUAAAUGUCUUUUACCAUUCAUUAAAUAUGAGGAUAAAAGUGGUUAGUGUAAACAUGAAAAGUGGUACUUUGAAAAUGGUAUUUUUGACAAUUUCCCUAGAUAAAAGUAAUUUUUUGAAAUAUUAUUACAAAUUUUAAAUUAAAUAAACUAUUAUUCUUCUUCAUCUUAUCCAAUUUAAAAUUUUGGUGAUAAUUUUUUUCUGAUUUAUACAAAUACAUUAACAUGUUUAUUAUUUAUCAUAUCUUUAAACUUAUAUCUUAUAUAUAUCAAAACGACAUUGUCUUUUCUUGUUAAUGAUUGACUAACUUCUGUUAGAAUUAAUGUAGAUUUAUGCACGUUUUAAAAAGUUCAAGUAGUUUUUUUAAAAUUAUGAUUAAGUUGAGGUCGGUUUUGGCACUGACCAUUUGUUCCGAUCCUAUUUGGCACGAUUGAGAGUGUUGGGGUCAAAAUUGGUAUUUUUCCUCUUAUAUUAGAACGACAUCGUUUUAUCUUAGUAACGGUUGAAUACCUUCUGUUAGAGUCAAUGUAGAUUUAGUCACGUUUUAAAAAGUUUGUGUAGUUUUUUUUUUGAAUUAUAAUUGAUUUGAAGUCUUAUUUAGCACUGAUCAAUUGUUCACGACUGAAAUUGUUGGGAUUAAAUUGGCAUUUUUGUCAUGUCAAACAAGCUACAUUAGUCUAUUGUAAUAACAUUGGCGUUGUAUACUUGUCCGUAAUACCAACAGAUAAAACAGAUUGAAAUUGACAUCCACUUUGUUAGGAAAAAGGUGAAAAUGGAACAUGUUUGGGUUCAUCACAUCUUUGCUUCAUUGAUCUACGUAGACAUCUCUACUAAAGGGUUUAUAUAUUAUUUAUUUCUAAGUUUUGGUACCAGUUUAGGUGUGUUAAACCUCAACCUUUUGGUACCAGUUUAGGUGUGUUAAACCUCAACCUAGAACUGCGAAAAUGUAAUAGACUCCAAUAAUAUUUUUUUUAGUAAUUAGAGCAUUCGAUUAGCACAUCCCAAAUAUUAUGGAACAAAUUGUAUUAUAUAUUUUCAGUAAAUAUAGUAAAACCUUUCAAAAGAAAACAUUUUAUGAGGUGAUUGAUUAGGUUGUAAAUACUUUAUUUAGUCUACAUCCUUUAGAAUGGCAAUUAUACUUUGAAUUAAUUUCGAAAGCUACAACCAAAAAAUAAAAUGGUUAUAAUCCCCUAUUUACUAAAGAAUAUUUUAUAUAUUGUAAGAAAAAUAUACAGCUAUAGCAGAUAUAUCUACAACAGACAUUAUACAUACAAAAUUUUACAAUACAUAAUUUAAAUCUACAUCUCAACCAAUCACCCCCUACUACUUUCACACAAACAAAUUUUACAUCUAAGCAUUUAUGUGAUUUGGAUAAUAUGUCAACGUACAUAUCAUGAUCUCAUUUAAUAUAAAUGUUCUAUCUAAGACUUGGCACAUAGACUUUGAGAAACUCUUUGCUUAGGUUAUGAUUUUGAUUCGUAGAAUAUGGGUUCGAAUUUUGGAUUUUUUUUCAUAUUCACUUUAAAACACUUUCCAAAUGAUAAUUAAUUUCAGUAAGGAGAGAAAAACAUUACAGUGAGGAGAAACAUAUUCACUUAAACAAAUCCACAAAGCACCGAAGAGAAUAACAUUACAGCAAGGAGAGGCAAGCUACAAGCGUGUGAAUUUCAAGUUCAUAAAAGUUCAGACCACUUACCUGUUUCUUGUUUGCCCAACGACUUCCAAGUCCCCACUCUUUCUCGUUUCCUUGCUCCAUCCCAUUUACUUUCCAGUUUAUACGAUCUUCGGUUUCAUAUUAUACACGAAAAUUCAAAUUAAAUUUUGUUGAAUGUUAAUUUUGAUCUAUACAUUGAGUUAUCAUUUAUACCCGUAACAAGUUAAAACUAAACUUUUGUAGGUUAACCAAAAAAAGAAGACUACACUUUGUAGAUAUCAUCAUGACAGGUAAAAUCUAGGAAGAUCUAGUAAGGAACCAUUCAGAACCAAACCGGUCAGAAACCGUGUCUCUCUCAUGAUGCACAUUCAUCAAGAAUCUGAAAAAAAAAGAUAAAUAUCAAAAUUGAUUAAAUUGAGUCAGAAGAUAACCAACACAAGAUCAUGAUCGGCUAUAUUUCGUGCCACGAUCACUGAUAUUCUGUCCACAAGUUUCCUUCUUUUAGAUUUUAAUUAGUUGUCGACAAUACUUCGAAGUUGGUUCGAUGUUGCUGUCCGAAUGUAUUGGCCCCGUCCCUACGUUGCCUUUCGAACAGCUUAUGUAUGAUUAAUGCUUCAACGAAAAGACAAUGAGACAUAUCCAGCAAAUUAGGGUUGCUCUUGUUUGAGUGGUUUAAGCCCCACGAAUAUGUAAUUAGAACACAAAAUUAUAACCAGAAUCUCGUGAGAUUCGGAGUAAUCGUGAAUUUAAAACGAGUCAUGUCAAUAUUUCAAAUCACUCGACAUUUUGUGGGUUUUCAGUUUUGUUUGCACUAAAUGAACUUGAAAACAACAUUUUAGUUCUAUUACAUACAACUGAGUUUUCUUUUGGAGACCUGAUGUCUGAAACAAUGCUAAAGAAAUUAGAAAGUAAGAUGUUACGUCCAUAGUUUAUAAAAAUCAUGUACAUAUGAUAUAAAUAAAAGAGAGAAGGUGGGGAGAUAAGACUAAGAUAGUGAUGAGUCGAAAAGGGAACAAAGACUUUAAUAAUUUAAAGACCCAACUUUUUUGAGACCCCCACGAAUGCGAUUUGCAAAAGACAUGACUCUUUGGAGUCUAGCUUGUGUUUGCAUCACAAGACAAGUUGUAUGUUCAACACCAUUCCUCUUCUCAUUUUUAAUUAACUAAUUUUCUACUAAACAUAGCAUUUCUAAAUAUACGUAUAUAUAUUUAUAAAAAAAUCACUUCAUAGUGGGAUCUAAACUAUUCUCUCUUGCAAUUUACAAAAAAAAAAAAACGAGUAUCCACUCGCGCAUGCUUCUUUUAAUUAGUGAGUAAAUACAUUGCAUGAGUGCAUAACAUAACUGAAAUAAUACAUGAAACUCUGACAGUCAUAGCCUCUGAAAUAUACAUAAGAAGAGAGUUAGAGAGACUACGUAUCUUGCAUUUAAGUAUUUAAUUAUCUAAACUUUGGGAUACUGGAGGAGUCAAGAACGUAGAAGGAAUCUUAAUAUCAAACGUAGGAAACACAUAUAUUUAAUAUUGGUAAAUUCAUUGAAUGAAGCCUAACCUAAACAUCAAAAGCAUGAAUGCAUGCGGAUUAGAAGCUAAAUGAACAUAGUUACGCGUAAACUAUGGGGGAAAUUAAAAUUACCACUUUGGUUCAUACUUUUAGGUUCUACGAUUCAAUGUAUAUAUAGAACGUGGAGCCUCUCCUCAUAACCCAGUUUUAAGGAAAAUCAUUUAUGAAUAAAAGAGACAAAUGUAUAAGAAGCACAUGGCUUUACCAUUCCUCUAUCAAUUACCAGCUCAUUUCCCUUAUCCACAUGGGUCUCUCUCCUUAUUCUCCAUUAAUCUAAAUUAUUAACAUUUUCCAAGUCACACUAUACAAACGGCGGUGCAAAUUAUGAUAGAGGAUAAUUUUCCCAUGAUACUAAUUAAAACUAAACACUCAAAAAUAAUGUAAUGAAUAAUAUCGGUACAAUCUUAGAUUUUAGACAUAAAGUAAAACAUAUCAAUACGCGCAAUUGAUAAAUGUGAACGAUCGAGAUCGGCAACAACUGCACUUGUAUGCAACUUCAAAAAGUUGAUGAUCUAGAAGAGGACUUGUCGACAUUUUUUUAUUGAACUUCUAGGAAAAAAAUGGUUUUAGCCCAAUUAUACUCCAAAAUAGGGUAAAAGUAGUGUAUAUAUUGCUCUACUUUAACCAAAAGUAGCAUUUUACUCUAAUUCCUACUUUUCUCUUUCCUCCGUCUAUAUUUAGGAACAACUAUCUUGAAUUUUUCAAAACAACACUAACUAAUACAAAUCAGCCUACUGAUUAUCAACACUCGUAAAAACUAUAUAAACUUUUAAAAGAUGCAAACACACAAGAAACACUUAAUAAAGUAAUAUCAUAAUACUUUUUAUGUUUGCUUUAUUUCCGGGUCGGCCGAUAGACAUCCAAUUCGCAAUCAUCAUUUUUUUAAUCUCCUUUCUUUGGUCCUUUAUAAUAAUAGUAUAUCCUUUGUAAAAGAAGUGUAAAGACAUCGACGGCAAAGAGGUAGCGUAAGCAAAGUUGGCGGAGGCAAAUAAGGAGCGUGGAAUAAAGAAAGAGUCGAGUCCACAUGGGCGGCCAUAGCGUUUGUGUCCCACCUUUGUCCCCUUGCCUCUUUCUUGCCUUUCAUGCUCCCGACAACAUCUCUCUCUCUUCCUUUAACCCUAACUUCUAUGCAUCUUCUCCCUCCUGUAUAUAUCUCUCUUUCUCUAAACCCAUCAUCAACCAAACUCACAAACAAGAACAAGAAGAACAAGGAUUCUGCUUUGGAUAUAUUACACAGAGACAUAUAGAGAGAGAGGUGUCUUGAUCUUGAAAAAAAAUGGCUUACGAGAAAGUCAAUGAGCUUAACCUUAAGGACACAGAGCUUCGUCUUGGAUUACCCGGAACGGAGCAAGAUAAGGAAGAACAAGAGGUUUCUUGCGUUAGAAGCAACAAGCGUCAACUACAGAGCGAUAACGAGGAAGAAUCUACACUUCCUACGAAGUAAGUGAAGAUUUGAGUUUCAAUCUAUUGUUUAAAAUUAUCUAUGAAUUAUUGUACUGAAUCAUCAUUUUUUUAAUCUCCUUUCUUUGGUCCUUUAUAAUAAUAGUAUAUCCUUUGUAAAAGAAGUGUAAAGACAUCGACGGCAAAGAGGUAGCGUAAGCAAAGUUGGCGGAGGCAAAUAAGGAGCGUGGAAUAAAGAAAGAGUCGAGUCCACAUGGGCGGCCAUAGCGUUUGUGUCCCACCUUUGUCCCCUUGCCUCUUUCUUGCCUUUCAUGCUCCCGACAACAUCUCUCUCUCUUCCUUUAACCCUAACUUCUAUGCAUCUUCUCCCUCCUGUAUAUAUCUCUCUUUCUCUAAACCCAUCAUCAACCAAACUCACAAACAAGAACAAGAAGAACAAGGAUUCUGCUUUGGAUAUAUUACACAGAGACAUAUAGAGAGAGAGGUGUCUUGAUCUUGAAAAAAAAUGGCUUACGAGAAAGUCAAUGAGCUUAACCUUAAGGACACAGAGCUUCGUCUUGGAUUACCCGGAACGGAGCAAGAUAAGGAAGAACAAGAGGUUUCUUGCGUUAGAAGCAACAAGCGUCAACUACAGAGCGAUAACGAGGAAGAAUCUACACUUCCUACGAAGUAAGUGAAGAUUUGAGUUUCAAUCUAUUGUUUAAAAUUAUCUAUGAAUUAUUGUACUGAUGAUGAUUCUUUGCUAAUUUACAGAACUCAAAUCGUUGGUUGGCCUCCGGUGAGAUCUUACCGUAAAAACAACAACAGUGUGAGCUAUGUGAAAGUGAGUAUGGAUGGAGCUCCAUACCUUAGGAAAAUAGAUCUCAAGACAUACAAAAACUAUCCAGAGCUUCUCAAGGCAUUAGAGAACCUGUUCAAGUUCACGAUCGGUGAAUACAGCGAAAGAGAAGGAUACAAAGGAUCUGGAGUUGUACCAACGUACGAGGAUAAAGAUGGAGAUUGGAUGUUGGUUGGUGAUGUUCCAUGGGAUAUGUUCUCUUCCUCUUGUAAGAGACUCAGGAUCAUGAAAGGAUCUGAUGCUCUUGCUUUGGACUCGGCCUUAUGAUGAUGAUGAUGAUGAUGAUGAAAGCUUUUGAUGGAUGAAACCCUUUUUGAUUUGAUUCUGAUCGGAGUUUGAGUAGUUGACCACACCAAAAACAGAACAUGUCAGGGUUUUGUUCGAUGAGAUAGAUCCAUCUUCAAGGGGUUUUCUUUUUGUUUUGUUUGAUCCUUGUUUUUAGAUUUGCAGCUUGUUGUAAAGAUAGAUGAAAUUUUUGUACAAUACGGACAUAUACACAAUAUAGAUGCGUAUGUAGCAAUGUUUUGACGAAAAGAGUCUUUAAUUUCAUAGUGAUAUCUACAAUAAUUUACAAUAAAGAACCUCAUAGUAUUCUUUAGGAGAGGGCAAAAUAAGGGUUUGGAUUCGAUCAGGAAAUUUUGGAUAUUUGUAACUCCAACAAAAAAAAAUACUUACAUUUAAUUAUAGUUAAAAACUGAAAAAAUUAUAAUUACUAAAAUUUUAGAAGAUAUAUGUGUUUAUUAUAUUUAUAUGAAAGUUUGAUAUAUUUUCGCUAAAUUAUUUAUUUAUUUAUUUAUUAAAAAGUAAAAUUAAAUUACAUUUUAUUUCGUAAUGAACAUUAUUAUAAUAUGUCAAAUUUCGAAUUUUUUAAUAAAAAAUAUUUUUACAUUUAAAAAAGAUUAAUCAAGAAACAGGCCUGAUAAGAGUUUCCAAAGCCCAAUUGACUUGAGUCCAUUGAUUUUGGUUAUGUGCUAUGACGGGGCGAAUCUAGCCCAUUUAAAUUAUGGGUGCACUAUUGAUAGAAAAACAUAAAAAUACAUUAGACAAGGAUCGAACCUAAGAAACUGAGGGUGCACAUACUUCUUUUUACCAUAUAAGCUAACCAAAUUUUGAUGUUUCUACGUGUAAAAUACUAAAUUUUAAAAUAAUUGUGGGUGCACAUGUCCCCUCAUCCUUUAACUUGGCUUCGCCAGGUGUUUCCACCUUCGAUGAUCAGAUAAGUGGAGAAGGUGAAAUCUACAUAAAGCUUGAAUGAAUUGGUACAUUUGAUAUAGCAACGAAAUUAUACAUAGUAUUAAUUUAAUUUAUUUUACUUCGUAAGUCAAGCUAGGCAAGAUUGUUUUGCGUGAAAUUUCGACAGGAAGACACUUGUUUCCAGUUAAUUGGGAAAUAAUUAAUAACUAGAAUAAGACAUGCGCUAGUGCGCAUAAUGAUUUUGUUUGUAUAUAUUAUCGAUAAUUCUUUUUAUAUAUUUGUUUAUUUUGUUAAUGCAUAUACAAUAUUUUUUGCUAAUAUUAUAUAAUUUCUUUCUGAUAGAUCGGAUUAAUUUUUAUUAAAAGUUGUGGAACUAAAUUAUAAUUAAUAUAUCAUAGGUUGAUUGGAUUUAAACAAAUUGUGACACAAAAACCUUAUUUUUUUCACCGGACACAUUAUUGAAAAAAAUGAAUAGUAAUGUUUCCACAGUUGAAUUGUUUUGACAUUGAUCUUCCAUAUGGUUUUGACAUGUUUCAGAUCAACAAUCAAAUUAAUACAUGUCAUUUUAAUGAUUUUAGUCGUAUGGUUAAGUAAAACUUACAUUUUUGUAAUUUAAAUUUGUUUUAAAAAAAUUCAGAAUAUAACAUAUAAGAAAAAAUCUAACAUAUAAGAAAAAAUCUAACAUAUAAGAAAAAUAUAACAUAUAAGAUUUCCUCAUUUUUGUAAAUUAAAGUCGUUUUAAACAAAAAUUAAAUUAUAACAUAUAAGGUUUCCUCAUUUUUGUAAUUUAAAGUCAUUUUAAAAAUUUUAAAAUAUAACAUAUAAGUAAAAAAACUAGUUUUUUAAUUAUAUGGUUAAUGUGAUUAUUUUAAUUUUUUUAAUAAUAUAAAAUUUAAAAAAAAAUGAAGAAUGAUGCAAAAAUUGUUAUAAAUUUUUUAUUAUUCAUAGUCAUUAACUGUCAUAUAUAUGUUAAUACUAUUAGGUAAUUUCGUAGUUUUUAUUUAAAGAAAUAAUACAUGUUUCUUAUAUUUUGAGUUAAUAUAAUGUUUCUUAAUAACUGGAUUUGAACCAACAUUUUUUCAAUUAAUUCUUAAGCUGUCAUGUAAACUAAAUUGUCAUCCUAAUUAAGUGAUACCUAAACAGUGUCUCUUUUUAAUUAGUACAAACUUAAUGUUAUAAUUUUUUUAAUAGUCCUCAAUUAAUAUAUAGGGAUUCAUAUAAUCAUAUUUAACAUGUUUAAUGAGGGGUCGUACAUAUUUAUAAUAUAUUUUUUUUUUUAUUGCUAUCUUAGCUUAACUGGUCAUGCAUGUUUCGUAUGUUUUUGAUACUGCUAGUACAUUCAAGUCUAGUUUUGUAUAAUCUAAGUCUGUAAUCUAAUUUUCAACAGUGGUGAUAUAUAUAUUAAUGGGAAAAUUAGGGCACGAAUAAUUAAGAAUUGCAAUUCUAUACUAAGAAAAAUGAGUUGAAAACAUGUUUUGAAAGUUUAAUCCUGCGAGUUAAAACAUUUUGAGGCACCUUUUUCUUAAUAUUUGCAAAUCUAAUGUCUUAACUUUUUAUCAUAUUCAUUACUGCAUUUUGCCGCGUGCCAAUUAACAUAAGUGCACGCUACUACAAUCGAAUGGUAUAUCGAUGCAGUAUUGUAUGAUUGAAUCCAUAAAAAACUAGUGGUAUAUAACAAUAAGAAUACACAAACUUUUCUAAUCUAAGCAAAUAAGAAGAUGGAUGAUUUGUAACAAUCUAAGUAAUGACAGUAGUGAUCAUGGGCCUUUGGAGAAAGUGAAAGAGCAGUCUCAAGCCCACACGGUCACCACCAAAGUUCAGCCUAAUCCUCCUCUGUCGUCUAGUGUCAAACAGAAAGCAUUCAAGGUUCAAUCUUCUUGCUCCAGUACGACGAGGCCAGCUAAUGGCAUAACGGUUGGAAAUAGAUUUGAGUGUCUUGGUACACAGCCUGUCAUGUGCUGAGUCAGAGUAGAGGAUAAGAUCUUAUGUCUCUAUAUAAUGUAAAACGUGAACAUGUAAUCAGCAAGCAAGAAAGUAAUAAAAGUUAAAACGUUCUUCUUCACAAAACUCUAAGUUUUUUCAUGGUAUCAGAGCCAUGGAGGACUCUGACGCUAUUUCUACGCCAUCACUGAGUAUCUCUCAGUGUGUGACGUUAAAACUCACAUCUUCCAACUACUUGCUUUGGAAGACACAGUUCGAAUCCUUUCUUUACAGUCAAUCCUUGCUCGGUUUUCUCAAUGGAGGUUCUCUUCGCCCUGCUCCAACGGUAACGGUUCAAGAAGGAGAUGGAGUCACAGAGCAGCCUAAUCCUGAGUUUCAGAAGUGGAUGCGCAAAGACCAGCUUGUCAUGGCUUGGUUGUUCGGUUCUCUGUCUGAGGAUGCUCUCAGAUCUGUCUACGGUCUCACGUCAGCUCAGGAGGUCUGGUUCUGCCUUGGAAAGAAGUACAAUCGUGUCUCAGCUACAAGAAAACUAGAUCUCCAACGUAAGCUUCAAGGUAUGACUAAAAGCCAAAGAACCAUGACAGAGUAUCUAGGAGAGAUUAAGAGUAUCUGUGACCAGUUAGACUCUAUAGGGUGUAGCAUGACUGAGCAUGAGAUGAUAUAUGGUGCGUUGAGCGGUUUAGGGAAAGAGUAUGAAUCCAUAUGUACGGUUAUUGAGCAUUCUAUGGAUUCGGUUACUGAGAUGACGUUUGAAGAUGCUGUGUUCAAGCUCACUACCUUUGAUGAUAAGCUUCAGGUCUAUAACCAAAGUGCCACAGUUAAUCCUCAUCUUGCCUUUCAUGUUGGAAGGGGUUACUCUAACAACAGAGGCAGAGGAGGUUACACUAACAGAGGGGAUUAUAGAGGUGGUCGAAGCAACAACAACUACUCCACAAGGGGACGUGGCUUUCAACAGCAGUUCUCAAGUGGUAAUGGUCGUGACAAUGUUAGCUCAGGGUCCGGUUCCAACAACAGACCUACCUGCCAAAUCUGUGGGCGGUAUGGUCAUUCAGCUGCGAGAUGCUACAAUCGCUAUGAUCAAGAGUCUCAGUCUUCAGAUAACCUACCCAAUGCGCUCACCACAAUGAGACUUUCUGAUCAAGAACACAGUACCGGUCAAGAAUGGUAUCCAGAUUCUGCUGCGUCUGCCCACAUUACAAGCAACCAGUCUCAGUUAACGUCAGCAGAACCCUAUCUUGGGAAUGAUCAAGUGAUCGUUGGGAAUGGAGAUUACCUGCCAAUCACGCAUGUUGGAUCUGUCGCCUUACACACACAACAAGGUACUCUUCCUCUUGAUGAUGUGUUAGUCUGUCCUGGAAUAACAAAGUCUUUGAUAUCGGUUUCAAAACUCACUUCAGACUAUCCAUGUGAAGUUACAUUUGAUUCUGAAACUGUUUUUGUUAAGGACAAGCAAACAAAACAGGUGAUAACUCAAGGCAGAAGGGAUAAGGAUCUGUAUAUGUUGAAGGAUGCAAGAUAUCAAGCUUUUUAUUCUACAAGACAGAGAGCUACAAGUGUGGAGAUUUGGCAUCAAAGGCUAGGCCAUCCUCACAAGGACAUCCUUCAGCAGUUAGCCAGGAGUAACGCUAUCAGUUUGAAUAAAGGGGGGACAUUGGAGCUCUGUGAAGCGUGUCAGAUUGGCAAGAGUUGCAGGCUUCCUUUUCUUCUUUCAGAAACUUUUUCUAAUAGACCUUUAGAGAAGAUACAUUGUGACUUAUGGGGACCUAGUCCAGUUGUUUCUGCUCAAGGAUUUGGAUUACCCGGAAUAGAGCAAGAUAAGGAAGAACAAGAGGUUUCUUGCGUUAGAAGCAACAAGCGUCAACUACAAAGCGAUAACGAGGAAGAAUCUACACUUCCUACGAAGUAAGUAAAGAUUUGAGUUUCAAUCUAUUGUUUCAAAUUAUCUAUGAAUUGUUGUACUAAUGAUGAUUCUUUGCUAAUUUACAGAACUCAAAUCGUUGGUUGGCCUCCGGUGAGAUCUUACCGUAAAAACAACAACAGUGUGAGCUAUGUGAAAGUGAGUAUGGAUGGAGCUCCAUACCUUAGGAAAAUAGAUCUCAAGACAUACAAAAACUAUCCAGAGCUUCUCAAGGCAUUAGAGAACCUGUUCAAGUUCACGAUCGGUGAAUACAGCGAAAGAGAAGGAUACAAAGGAUCUGGAGUUGUACCAACGUACGAGGAUAAAGAUGGAGAUUGGAUGUUGGUUGGUGAUGUUCCAUGGGAUAUGUUCUCUUCCUCUUGUAAGAGACUCAGGAUCAUGAAAGGAUCUGAUGCUCUUGCUUUGGACUCGGCCUUAUGAUGAUGAUGAUGAUGAUGAUGAAAGCUUUUGAUGGAUGAAACCCUUUUUGAUUUGAUUCUGAUCGGAGUUUGAGUAGUUGACCACACCAAAAACAGAACAUGUCAGGGUUUUGUUCGAUGAGAUAGAUCCAUCUUCAAGGGGUUUUCUUUUUGUUUUGUUUGAUCCUUGUUUUUAGAUUUGCA